CUUGGACCUAGUGGGGAGAUCGGCGGAGUCGGCGGCCGAACCCACUGGGAACUAAGGAAGUUAGUUCUCACCCCCAUUUUUACCACAGGUUCCAGUUCGGGUGUCCCCGGUGAGCGUGAGGAUCGCGGUAAGGGCCCGGCGUUUUAGUAGCAUUAGCUACCUUCCUUUUUGCACUAGCCGUCACCCUUUUAUAUUUGAGAGUAGAUGAUGUAUAGGGUGAGGUUCGAGUGAUUGUAUUUAUAUUUUGGAAGAAUGUAAAAGAUGUAAUUGAAUGUAUUGAGUCAAAUGAAUGUAAUAGAUAGCUCUUCUCUCUUAUGUACUUGUAUAUGUUUCUAUACUUGUAUCUUGCUCUCGUCUUAUUAGCACUUGUUGUGCUCUUGUGAUUGUGUACUUAUGAGUUGAUUCCUGGGUAAACUCUUGUACAUGAUCGUUUGCUUAGCCUUGGGCGGACAGGGGAGACUCUGUCCGUUCGGCGUCUGUUCGACGCGCCCGGGCCCGAACCAAAUUGGUAGCGGUCGCGGGGCGUGACAGAAACCGAUACCAAUUUGGUCCAGUUCGGGCGCGUCGAACAGACGCCGAACGGACAGCACCUCCCCUGUCCGCCCAAGGCCAACAGCGAGAUCAUGUAAAACAAGUUCCUAGGAAAUCACUUGAAUACAUACAUGAUCACAUAACAACUAUGAGGGGAGCAGAAUCAGUGCUAAACAACUAAGAGCAAGAUACAAGUAUAGAACAUACGAGUAAUAAUAAAGAGAGAAGAGGCUAUCUAUUACAUUCAUUCAGCCUUUAUAAUACAACUUGAUUAUGCAUUAAGCUUCUAAACAUAAUAUAAAGCUUACAUCUUCUAAAAUAUAAACAUUAGCUUACAUUCAUCCCAAAAUAGCUCACAACCUAUACAUCAUCUACUCUCAAUGUAUAUAAAGGUAACUCUAGUGCAGAAAUAGGAAAGUAAACUAAUGCAACUAGGGCGCUAGGCCCUUACCGCGAUCCUCACCGCGUGAACUCGCGCUCGGCCCUGUAGUAAAAUGGGGGUGAGAACUAACUUCCUUAGUUCCCAGUGGGUUCGGCCGCCGACUCCGCCGAUCUCCCCACUAGGUCCAAGUGGGCACCAGUAGAUAAUUGAUAGAUAGAUAGAUAAGGAAAGCGGUAAAUGACAGAAGUAAAGGUACUCUACUAUGCCCAAUCAUAAAUAUAUGAAUGCAUGUACAAUGAAAUAGGUAAGCAACUAACCCAUUACCAUGUCCAAAGGUAAAGUCAUUUACUCGUUCAUCAAUCUUAUUUACUUGUUUCUUAAUCUCGUGGCUUCCCUGAAGGAGCCUACAGCUCACUAGCCAUCUCGAAGGUAGGGAGGGUCAACUCGCACUACGAACCGAGACCGUCUGCCGGGGCCUAAAAUAGGCAAUCCCUUGGGACCCAAACUAGGCAAUCCCACGUGACCAACUCCGGAGCGCACUACUUGUGUGGGGCUUCCAUCACAAGAUUUAAAACAGACCGUGAGCAUGAUCCAAUCCUCGUCUCGAGAAUACCCUAUCCUUUAGGGGUACAAUCAUCAUAUAGUCCAUAGGUUUCACAUACACUAUGACUCAUAUGUGUCAUUUGUUCUUUUGCUUACUAGCAACUAAAUGCCACUUGUUCAUUUGUUUGCUAUCGACUAGAUGCCACUCGUUCUUUGUUUAACAUUAGACCAACCGUCGAGCCCAUCUCUUUCUCUGCACUAUAGGAUUCACAAGUCUCGACCCAAUCCUUAUCGAUCCACUACUAUGUCAAGUAUCCAAUACAUGCUACGAUAUCAUCAAAGAAAGCAUAAGGAAAGGCAGUGCACAAUCAUCCUAUAAUGCAAUAAUACAAGAUGCAAGAAUCGACAUGUACUAAGACAUAGAAGGGAGCCCGAUUGCUUCGGGAUGGACACCACCCACCUUUUAUAGCGUUCCGAUUGCUCGUCGUCACUCGCAAUCGGCCUCCCGCGGCGCACGCCGCUUGGCUCGACCCAAUCCGCGCGCGCGACCACCAAACGACCUCCGAUCCGCGAUCCGAAAAUUAAAGGUCUUUGGUUUCCUAUUACGAUGCUUCAAAUCCGUUUCCAGGAUUUUACAACGUCGCCUCGGCCCUCCAGGCAGAAACGAAGCCUAAACGUCCGUUUCUUUAAUAACUUUGCACCGGCUAGACGAAUCGCCGAACCGUCGCUUCCAACGCGUUCAGUGACCUAUCAAUUAGGUUUCCAGAGGGUUAAAUGAGAUCAAACCCUCAUAUUUUCAAAAAUUGCAUUUCAAGCCCUAGGUUUAUAACUAGGUAAGAAUUAAUUAAAUUGAUCCUAGAUUCUAGCAAUAAUCAUCUAUUUAGCAUGCUAGAAUAGCUCUAAAUCCAUUCUUGAAGCUUAAAACCCAAACUACAAAGAGAUACCAUUAAAGGGUUUUGAAGCUUACCUUCAAACCAUGCUCCAAUGGAGAGGAAGAAGAUGGAGAAGAUGGAAAUCCACCUUAGAGCUUCAAUCUCCACCAAAAUCAUCUCUUUUUGGGAGAGAUUUAGAGAGAGAAAGGAGAGCUUUCUCCUUUCCCUUCCAUGCGUGUAUGGGUGUGUGUGUGUGUGUCGGUUUGGGGCUGCUACGGCUGAGGAAGAAAGGGAUUUGAUCCCUUUUUACGAGUUAGCCCCUCAACUAUGCAAUCCUUCAAUUUAGUCCCUAAAUCUGAUAAGUUUCGUUGGAGCCCUUCUGGAUGUCCGAUUGAGCUCAAAUUUGACAGGCAUGCUCAGUUUAACGUACUGAGCAAGAAUAUAUCUUAAGUUUUCAGUUUCGACCCCGUUUGGUCACCGAAAACUGUGCCGAACUGCAAUCUUUAUCAGAUAGCCUUCGGAUUUUAUUUCUCACUCUACGGGUGUCAGAAAAAUAUGAAACCUUAAAUCUAGCCUCAUAAAAAUAUUCCUGACUUAUUCUCUAAUUUUCAUAAUUUUCUGAGACUGCAUUUUCUGCUAAUUUUUCUGUCCCGUUUCCAACAGAAAAUUUCAGAUCUUCUGUUUUCAUCCCGAUUUCAGCACAAGUCACUUCUGACUUAUGUUUUACUUCUCUAAAUCCAAUAAAAUAGUAUCUCAUACUAUUUUUAUUUAUUUAUUUAUUUUUUAUUUUUAUAUUUAAAUCCGGUAUGUUACAUUACACCGCAACCUUCCCGGAACCAUUCAAAUGGCUCUCCAACCAAAUGGACACCGUAACCUCAUGAUUUUCGAAGUCCGAUACCCUACAUCCUCCCCUCCUUAAAAAGAGUUUCGUCCUCGAAACGAACUCAAUAUUGCAAAACUUAUUUAGAACUUUAAAUUCUAAACUCAUACCUUGACUUAAUCCUCGAACAAGUGAGCAUGAUUCGCCUUCAUCUCCUCCUCAAGCUCCCAGGUGGCUUCGCGAUCGUCAUGAUUGCUCCACCGAACUCGGACAUAAGGAAUUUUCCGAUUCCUUAACUUGCGCACUUCACGAGCAGUAAUCGCCACCGGAAACUCCUCAUAACUUAGGUCUUCCUGAAGCUCCGGUGGUUCGUAUAACAUUGCAUGCUCGGGAUCAGGUAUGUACUUGCGCAAAUUGGAGACGUGGAACACGUUGUGCACAUCCGCUAGUUUUGGAGGCAACGCGAGCCGAUAAGCCACCAUUCCAAUCCGUUCCAAGAUCUCAUAGGGGCCAAUAUAUCGGGGACUUAAUUUUCCCCGAACUCCAAAUCGCUUAACGCCCCUCAUAGGCGAAACCUUCAAGAAAACGCGGUCGCCCACCGCGAAUUCCAAAUCCCGUCGGCGCCUAUCCGCGUAGCUCUGUUGUCGAGAUUGCGCAGAGAGUAACCGCUUCCGAGCAAGGCGGACCUUUUCUUCCGCCUCCCGCAACACAUCGGGGCCAAAUUCCGUGCGCUCGCCCACGUCACUCCAAUAAAUAGGAGAGCGGCACUUCCGCCCAUAAAGAGCUUCGAACGGUGCCAUCUCCACGCUAGCGUGAUAACUGUUGUUGUAGGCGAAUUCGGCCAUUGGCAAAUACUUACACCAACCUCCUUUGUAAUCGAUGACACACGCUCGCAACAUAUCCUCCAGAGUCUGAAUAGUCCUCUCGAUUUGUCCGUCUGUCUGGGGAUGGAAUGCAGUGCUAAAAUCGAGCCAUGUGCCAAGGGCCUCCUGUAGGCUUUUCCAGAAAUGUGAAGUGAACUUGGGGUCUCUAUCCGACACAAUCGAUUUCGGCACCCCGUGCAACCUCACUACCUCGUCAAGAUAUACCCCACGUGUGACGCUCUAGAUGUGACUGGUGUUUUCAGACUUUAUAGAUAAAUGGGUCUUCCUCAAUUUGUACGCCGUCUCCGCCACCGAUCUCGAUAAUUUCCUAAUGCUACAGCUGUAAGAGAUGGUGGGACCGUUUCGUUUACACCAACGCCUACGCAAAUCGUCCUUCAGCCGCUUCUUGGAGCGAAAACUACAAUGGGCCGUUUGUGGGGAUCCCGACCUCUACCUCGCUGACCUGGAGCUUCACCAGCGAGGGCUCCAGGGCCGAGUCGACUACCGCGAGCAAUAAGUUGGCUGGAAUAACCUCUCCUAGUCUUUAAACGUUGGACGUCUAGGCUCAGAGGUUUUCCACGCCGCGUUGUAGCUCCUUCCUGCUCUACCGNUAAAGUCACACCUGCGGCCACCGCGCGAGGCCAAAGCUUUGGCCACCACGCACGGGCUCUUACUUCUCGAAGCGCUCAACUAGAACGUCCUUCGGGUGGCCAGAGGUAUGCGCCUAGUGGGCCCGCCGUGGUUCUACAUAGUACUCAAUUCUCGUGAGAUAACCACCGGCCCCUACUAUCGACUAUAACCCGCGAAGCACCGCUUCACAAACUGAACAGUCGUUCACUUUCGCCUCGCGGCCAAAGGUCGCCCUUUCGAAGUUUCAGAUGGAUAAGGACAGACCUUUACCCUCCUAUAUAGAUACCUAAAGUAGCAACCGAAUGGAGCGAGCUGUCCCCCUGUGCUGCGUUAGACCCACUAACACCUAGCGAACUGCUUCAGUCGCGUGAAAAAUGGCUAGGUGUGGUGGACCCGCCCUCUAUUCAACCGCGUNGGUAGUGCCUCCACAACUUCAGCGCAAAGAUCACCGCCGCCAACUCCAAGUCAUGGAUGGGGUAGUUCUUCUCGUGGUCCUUCAGCUGACGGGAUGCAUAAGCUAUCACCCUCCCGCCUUGCAUCAGAACACACCCCAAGCCCAGAUAGGAUGCAUCGCUAUAGACCACAAAGUUCUCGCCCUGCACUGGUAAGGCGAGUAUCGGAGCCGACGUCAAUCUUUUCUUCAAUUCGUUGAAGCUUUGAUCACACUCGUCGCUCCAAAUGAACUUGACGCCCUUCUGAGUCAAACCGGUAAGUGGAGUUACAAUUUUCGAAAAGCCCUCCACAAACCGUCGAUAAUAGCCCGCUUAGCCCACAAAGCUUCGGACCUCCGUGACGUUUGUCGGGCGUGGCCAAUUCUCGACCGCUUCGACUUUCCUCGGGUCAACCGAAACACCGCCCUCGAAAAUCACAUGCCCCAAGAAGGCAACCUCUCGAUGCCAGAAAUCGCAUUUCUUUAGCUUUGCGAAUAGCUUCUCCUCCCGAAGGAUUUGAAGCACUAUCCGCAAAUGCUCCGCGUGUUCCUCAUCGUUUCGCGAAUAGAUCAAGAUGUCGUCUAUGAAAACCACGACAAAUCGGUCCAAGCACGUUUUAAACACACGGUUCAUUAGGUCCAUGAACGCUGCCGGGGCAUUUGUGAGCCCGAAAGGCAUAACCGUGUACUCAUAGUGUCCAUAACGUGUACGAAAUGCGGUCUUCUGAAUAUCCUCCGACUUAAUCUUUAACUGAUGGUAGCCGGAUUGUAGAUCUAUCUUCGAGUACACUCGUGACCCCUGUAACUGAUCAAAUAAAUCAUCGAUUCGGGGCAACGGGUACUUAUUCUUUAUCGUGACCCUAUUCAACUCUCGAUAGUCCACGCAGAGUCGAAAUGAGCCAUUCUUCUUGCGCACGAACAACACCGGCGCUCCCCACGGCGAUACGCUCGGCCGGAUAAACCCUUUGUCGAGAAGAUCUUGUAACUGGUCCCUCAAUUCCCUUAACUCUGCCGGCGCCAUACGAUAUGGGGCUUUCGAGAUUGGCGUCGUCUUCCGAAUCAAGUCUAUAACGAACUCGAUCUCCCGAUCCGGCGGCAUCCCCGGUAACUCCGUGGGAAAUACAUCCGGAAAUUCCCGCACCACCGAUAAAUCCUCUAAUUUCGGCACCACCCGGUCCACCUCCACGACGGUUGCCAAAAAUGCUACGCAGCCGCCGUUGACCAACUUCCUAGCUCUCGUCGCCGAUACUGUCGCGACGAAGCAAGAACUCCGACAAGCUCGAUAAACGACCUCCUUCUGUCCUGGCUCCCGAAAGGUGAUCGAUUUAUUCUUACAAUCGAUCGUGGCAUAAUACUUUGAGAGCCAGUCCAUGCCCAAAAUGACGUCAUACGCCUCCAGUUUAGUGAGUUCCAACAUCCGGAUGGGCAUCAUCCAGUCACCUACUUGUACUAGGCAUGACGAGCACUCCGUGUAGGUAUUAAACGACGAUUCAGGACCCUCGACUCGCCACUUGCCACUUGCUUCUAUGGGUAUGUCAUGCAUGCGUGGCACCCGUAUCGAACAUAGCUCUGGAGCGAACUCCAUUGAUUAGAACCAUACCUGCUACAACAUCAGGCUCCUCGGCUUGGGCGGGCCCCUCAGCAUGGGCUUGAGCGGCGAAUACCCGUCCGCUCGGCGCUGAUCGAGUCACCUCCGGCUGGUGCGGCGCCAGUGCGCGUCCCGCCGACACAGGAACAUACGGGGCCCCUCCUUGAUAAGGCGAGGGCGCUGGAGUCGAUGCGACUGACGGAGUAGACGAGGCCCUUGCCGGACAGUCGCGGCUGACGUACCCUUCUUGUCCAUAAUUAAAGCACCGCCCUUGUCGUUGUCUACACUGCGGUGCCCGAUGGCCUCGAUCUCCAUAGAUAGGGCAACGCUGCGGCCCACGGCCCCAUGACUGCGACGGCGGAUACUUCGGGGGCCUCCUUGAACUCGAUUGUCCCCCCGAACUGCCGCCCGAUUGCUUCUUCCCCUUGUCUGGGGAUCCGGUCAACAACUCACGCUCCUCCCGCACAUGGGCAUCUCCAUGCUCUGCCCACAGCGCCUUAUUGAAAACCUCAGCGAAAGUUGUGAGCUGGAACAAUUGCACUGCCCGAUAUAUCCAUGGCCGAAGUCCUCGCAAGAACCAUUCGGCCCGAUCCGCGUCAUCCUUGACCACGUCUGGGACACAGUCUAUAAUGUGGGAGAACUCCUGCUCAUAGUCCGCCACGGAGCGAUCCCCCUGUCUCAAUUUGCGAAACUUUUCCUUUAGCUUCCACUUCUCGGUGUCGGGGAAGUAAUUUCCAAACACUUCCCUCUUCAACUCAUCCUAGAGCAUUGGUGGAAGGUCAGAGGGUCGAUCUCGCUUCAACCGCUUCCACCACACCUUCGCCGCCUUGUCAAGGCAAUGGGUGGCGAAAGGCACUUUAUCCUUCUCCGAGGUGUAUAGGUCCUCGAAGAGGGUCUCCAUAGAGUCAAUCCAAGACUCCACCACCGAUGGCUCCACUUUCCCCCCUUCAAAAGUUGGUGGCUUAAACUUCAUAAACUUCAUUAGAGCCGUCAACGCACGCUCCCGCUCCACUUCGUCGGCCGUCGUAUCAAGUAUCGCCGAACCUGAAGCUGUCGGAGGCGCAUUUGCCGGCGGGGGAACUGCUGCCAUCGGAACUGCCGCUAUGCCCUCACCCUCGGUCGCUACCAGCGCGCGUGCCGAAGGUGCGGGCGGAUCGUGAUCUCCAGCCGCUGUCGCGGCCACCGCUGCUGCCGCUUGCCGCUCCACAAAUCCCUGGAGCUGCUCGAAUCGAGCCUCCUGGCGCUGCAUCGCGCCCAACAUUGCAGCGACCUGCUCCCGCAGCUCCUGCACUUCCUCCGAUCUUGUCUGCUCGGGCUCCGCAGAAGGCGGUACCGGAGCAGACCUAUGCACGUAACGCCUCGGGGACAUUUGCUCCUGAAAAGCAACGACUCGGUUAGUUAUCUUAAUCCGAUAACUUUUUCAACGCUCACGAAAUUAAACGACUCGACAGUGAAAUCGGGCGGAAGCUCACAAGUGUUCCAGUUCUGGACUCUUAGCGUCGCGUCGUCGGCCGCCGACACAACCACGACGAGCCGAGAAACUAGUAUCACUUGGAUCCGUCUCUAUUCACAGCUAGAGACAUGACAUAAGUUCUGGACUCUUAGCGUCGCGUCGUCGGCCGCCGACACAACCACUACGAGCCGAGAAACUAGUAUCACUUGGAUCCGUCUCUAUUCACAGCUAGAGACAUGACAUAAGUUCUGGACUCUUAGCGUCGCGUCGUCGGCCGCCGACACAACCACUACGAGCCGAGAAACUAGUAUCACUUGGAUCCGUCUCUAUUCACAGCUAGAGACAUGACAUCAACUUUGACCCAAUCGAUCAACUUCCGCCAUCGCCAUGAGUUCACGUUCACUCACGUCCCUAUAACCUUAGGGUUUACCGACCUAGUGUCUCCUAGGUCAUCCUAGACUCUCUCUUUACUUGCUCUGGUGCUCUGAUACCACUUUGUGACGCCCCAGCUUCCCAGGGGGUCACCCAUCCUAGGACUACUCCCGUCCUAGCACGCUUAACUCUCUUAACCUCUUGGGCCUUGCCACCACCCAAAAUGCUUAAGCCGGGUUAAAAGUUUAGCCCUAUUAUAUCUUAUAUAUAGGACUACCCGGGGUCUCACACCUCAAGUGAAAAACCCUCUCUUAAUCUUCAAAUGGGAAGUAGAGGUUUUCCAAUCUAACUUAUAUAAAGGUUCUAAACCAUUCCAAUAAGAUCAAGAAGCCUCAAAUUAAGAAUCCCAAAAUCUAACCCUAAAAUCCAAAAUCUAGGGUUUAAACAAGCAAAAUGCCCCAAAACUAAGAUCUAGAGGAAGGAACCUUGCCACUUACCUCUAGGAUGCUCCAAUCCAAGCUCAAAAUCUUCUAGGGUUGAAGAUUGAUCCACCACAAAGUUCCAAAAGCAAGCUCCAAGCCUCCAAAGGUGAGAAAUGAGGAAGAAGAUGGUGCUCCAAAGCCUCCAAGCAAGCUCCUCUCCUCUCCUUCUCCUUCUUCUCCUUCCCUUUCUCUCUCUAGAAGUGUAAGGAGAGUGUGAGGGAGAGAAAAUGAGAGUGAGAGGGGGUAGAGAGGCUGCCAAAAGCCUCUAAGGUAACAAAAUCCACUUAGGCCUCUCAAAAAUCCACUCUGUGCACUGCCCGGUCUGGGCCGCUCACGCGCUGAGGGACCGGUCUCUCCCUGCCAAGGACCGGUCUCUAGGCUCGUCCAGCAAAACCAGCGUUCGGGAACCGGUCUCUCACAGCCAGGGACCGGUUGCCUCAAGCCCUGUCGCAGCACUGUGCUGAGGGGACCGGUCUGUCAUAUCAGGGACCGGUCCCCGAGAGUGAAAACUCUCAGGACUUGCCAAAACUCUAGAGAUCGAACUUUUAGGCCGGUAUACAUCGACGGCCCUCCACCAAGUGUGGAAAAGUUCGAAAUACAUAUCGAACACUCGAACCUCGCAAUUUGCAAAGGUCCAGUGUGCUACAUUCAUCCCUCCUAAAAAGGAGUUUCGUCCGCGAAACUCGAAUACUAACAUACCUCAAAACUCCGUCUGAAAAAGAUGGGGAUAGUGCUCCCGCAGCGCACUCUCUAGCUCCCACGUGGCCUCCCGCUCCCCAUGGUUGCUCCAAAGAACCUUCACGGACGGAAUAUCCCGGUUUCACAGUUUCCGCACCUCGCGGGCCAAAAUCUUCGCUGGGUCGAAGACAUACUUCCGAAGGACCGAUACAUGAAAGACGUUGUGCACGCCGGAUAGGUUCGGUAGUAGAGAAAGUCGAUAUGCUACCGGACCCACACGUUCCAAGAUCUCAUACGGUCCAAUGAAACAGGGGCUCAACUUACCCCGAAUCCCAAAUCUCUUAAUCCCUCUAGUCGGCGAAACUUUCAAGAAAACAUGGUCUCCAACUUGGAACUCCAAGUCUCGCCGUCGUCGAUCGGCGUAGCUCCUCUGUCUACUCUGCGCCGUCAAAAGUCGCUCCCGAGCAAUUCAAACCUUGUUCUCAGCUUCCUGGAGCACGUCGGGGCCUAAUGCGAAUCUCUCACCGACUUCACUCCAAUGAAGUGGCGAUAUACACUUCCGUCCGUAAAGUGCUUCGAAGGGCGCCAUCUUGAUGCUUGCUUGAUAACUAUUGUUAUAAGCAAACUCUGCCAUCGGUAGAUGCUGCAACCAUCCUCCCUGGAAGUCAAUCACACAUGCUUGGAGCAUAUCCUCUAAAGUCUGAAUAGUGCGCUACGACUGUCCAUCACUCUGCGGGUGGAAUGCUGUACUGAAAUCCAGACGAGUGCCUAAGGCGUCCUGCAGACUCCUCCAAAAGCACGACACAAAUCAGGUGUCUCGAUCCGAUACAAUCGAUGUAGGCACUCCAUGAAGUCGCACAAUCUCAUCGAGGUACACUUGUGCGAGCUUCUCCCCAGUCCAAGUUGUAUGAAUAGGUAUGAAGUGUGCCGACUUCGUCAACCUAUCCACGAUCACCCAAAUAGCAUCUUGCACGGCCUGCGAGCGGGGCAAUCCUGUCACGAAAUCCAUGGUGAUCUUCUCCCACUUCCAAACGGGAACAGGCAAACUAUGAAGUUUUCCCGCGGGAACGCGAUGCUCAGCCUUUACUUGUUGGCAAGUUAGACAACGAGCUACAAACUCGCCAACGUCCUUUUUCAUCCUGGGCCACCAAUAAAGCAACUUUAAAUCCUUAUACAUCUUGGUGCCACCCGGAUAUAUAGCGUAGGGCGCUCGGUGCGCUUCUUGAAGAAUAUCCUCUUUAAUUCCCGAAUCCGUCGGUACACAAAUCCGUCCACAGAAAUGCAUCAAUCCUUGAUCAUCCACAAGGAGUCGCCGGUGCAACCAUUAACCAUUUUACCUUUAAUCCUUUGCAACUCUACAUCGGAAGCUUGCUUUUCUUUAAUUUUAUCCAAUAAUGUAGGUUGCACCACCAACGUCAUCAACCUCAAAGGCGUGUCAGGAGUCACCACCUCCAACUCAAACCGCUUCGUCUGCUCGAUCAACUGCGGUGGAGUAACUAAAUGCAUUGCUAAGUUUUCCGUCGAUUUCCUACUUAGCGCAUCUGCCACCACAUUAGCCUUGCCCGGGUGGUAAAGAAUCGUUAGAUCAUAAUCCUUGAGUAGCUCCAACCAUCUGCGCUGUCUCAAGUUCAACUCCUUCUGAGUAAAGAGGUACUUUAAGCUCUUGUGAUCCGUGUACAUUUCACACCGCUCGCCAUAAAGAUAGUGGCGCCAUAGCUUCAAUGCGAACACUACGGCCGCCAACUCCAAAUCAUGCGUCGGGUAGUUCUUUUAAUAUUCCUUUAGUUGGCGAGAAGCAUACGCGAUCACCUUGCCAUCCUGCAUCAAUACACAGCCCAAUCCAUUAAGUAACGCAUCACUAUAUACCAUAUACCCUGCUCAAGCUACUGGUAGGGUUAAGAUCGGGGCGGUCGUCAAUCUCUGCUUCAACUCUUGGAAGCUUCGCUCGCACGCAUUAUUCCAAAUAAACUUGAGUCCUUUAUGCGUGAGCCUCGUGAAGGGAGUGGACAACUUAGCAAAUCCCUCAACAAAUCUCCGGUAGUAACUGGCCAAUCCAAGGAAGCUCCGUAUCUCCGUGACGCUCGUCGAUCUCGGCCAACCCUUGAUAGCUUCAAUCUUCUUGGGAUCCAACGCAAUAUCUAAUCCUGAAAUCAAGUGUCCAAGGAAAGCUACCUCUCGAAGCCAAAAUUCACAUUUCUUCAUCUUGGCGUAAAGCUCCUUUUCCCGAAGUACUUAGAGUACAAUUCUCAAAUGCCCCUCGUGAUCUGCAUCACUUAGAGAGUAGACCAAAAUGUCGUCGAUGAACACCACAACGAACCUGUCUAGAUAAGACUUGAAAACACGGUUCAUUAAAUCCAUAAAAGCUGCCGUGGCAUUAGUCAGCCCAAACGGCAUAACUGUGAACUCAUAGUGUCCAUACCGUGUUCUGAAAGCGUCUUCGAUACAUCCUCGGGUUUGAUCUUCGGUUGGUGGUAUCCAGACUGCAAGUCAAUCUUGGAAUACACACACGAUCCCUGAAGCUGAUCAAACAAGUCGUCAAUUCUCGGCAACGGAUACUUGUUCUUGAUCGUGACUUUGUUGAGUUCACGAUAGUCCACACAUAGGCGAAGUGAUCCGUCCUUUUUCUUGACGGAUAUAACUGGCGCUCCCCACGGCGAGACGCUUGGUCGAAUGAAGCCCUUGUCCAACAGAUCCUGUAGCUGUGCCCUCAGCUCCUUCAGUUCCGCCGGUGCCAUCCUAUAGGGUGCCUUCGAGAUUGGGGUAGUCCCAGGGACAAGAUCCACCACAAAAUCAAUCUCCCUAUCAGGAGGCAUGCCCGGAAGCUCAGCUGGAAACACAUCCUGGAACUCCCGCACCACCGGAAUAUCCUCGAUCCUAGGGGUGUCAUCCUCGCCCCUCAUCACAACACUAGCCAAGUAGGCUACACAUUCUCGGCUGAUCAGCUGCCUAGCUCGAGACGAGCUGAUCGACAUCGCGAAAAGCGAACUCCAGCAUCCUUUAAACACAACCUCAGUCUGCCCCGGUUCUCUAAAGGUAACCGUGCGAUUCUUGCAAUCUAUCGUGGCAUAAUAUUUGCUCAACCAAUCCAUGCCCAAGACCACAUCAAAAUCCCCCAGCUUGCGCAAAGCUAGCAAAUCUACAGACAUGAUCCAAUCUCCUACCCGAAUAGGGCAACUGGGGCAAUACUCUCUAAUAUCCAGAACGUGGUCGGGUACAACAACAUGUCCCGUGUGCAACAAAGGAACCAAUGGAAUGCCAUGCAACUCGGCAAACAGCCGAUCUAUAAAUGAAUGCGAUGUACCGGUAUCAAAUAAAGUACGAACUCUAAUGCCAUCAAGUAAAAUGAUACCUGCAACCACAUCCUCGGCUGCUGCCGCCUCCUCGGUCUGAGCGGCAUACAAGCGUCCACUCGGGGCCUGCCGAAACCCCUCGCUCUGCCGCUGGACGGUUGGCCGCCCAGGCUGGUACUGUGUCGACGGAGUCCCCUGACUGGCGGCUGGUAGAGCCGGUGCCGAUGCAGUCGACGGUGCGGGUGAAGAACCUCUCGGGCACUCAGUCCGCACGUGGCCCUCCUGACCACAUUGGAAGCACCUGCCCGCCCGCUGUGGACACUACGGUGGGUGAUGAGGACCACCACAGAUCACACACGGGGAGGGCCGGCGUCGAUCAUAGCCUCCUCGCUGAGCUGUUGAGCCGCGUCCACGUUGCUGGCUCUUCGGAUGCUUCGGCGACCUCCUAGAGUGCGUCUGGCUCGCACCCUCAGCCGCAGGCCUCUUGGCCUUGCCCUUGUCCAUGGCCUCACGCCGCUCCUGUACCUCUGCCGCGCCGCUCUCCACAAUGGCGCGCGAUCCACCACCUCCCGGUAGGUUUGCAGGUUAGAGGAUUGCACAAACCGGAAGAUCGACGGUCGCAACCCUCGCUCGAAGAUGCGGGCCUUGUCCUCGUCGUCCCGCACGAUGAAAGGCACGCAGUGUAGAAGCCGAGAAAACUCCCUCUCGUACUCGGCUACGGUGCGGUCUCCCUGGCGCAAGCUGUGCAGAUCCUGCUCCAUCUUCCUCUUGACGCUGGUCGGGAAGUAAUGCGCCAAAAUAAGCUCCUUCAACUUCUUCUAUGUGAUAGCUGCUAAAUCAGUGCUUGGGUUCUCCUGGAGAUCCAACCACCAGCGAGUGGUGAGUAGCGAGCCAAACUCGAUCCCUCUCCUCCACGAAGGUGUCGCGGAAGAGCUUCUCCAUAUGUAUCAACCACUUCUCCACGAUCCAGUGGUCGACCUUUUUGCCGUCGAAAACUCGGGGACUACACCUCCUGAACUCAUUGAGGCGCUCCAUCAGUCUGUCUCGCUCUGCCCCCUCGACCAAGGUAGGGAAUGCAGCUCCCACCGGGGGCCUUUAAACAGGUGGUGCCACCAAAACCUCCUCCUUGGGUGCGGCCACAGGUGCCGCACACGAAGAACUGGGCGCGGGGGAUGGCGCUCUCGGUGCAACGUCCACAACGGGUGCUGGCGGUGUAGGGCCCUGCGUCUCCCUAGAAGCUGCUGCCUGUUGCAGGAGUAGAUCCUCCAGGAGCUUCAUCCGCGCCUCCUGUCGGUGCGCCGCCUCAGUCUGCUGUCGGGAUGCCUCCGCCUGCUGAGUGACUAAAUCGGUGAGGGCCGCAAGCUGGCCCCUCAACUCACGGAUCUCGCCAGAUCUGGAUGUAGCGGAGGUCUUGACCUCCUCAAAGUUCGCCACAUUGUCCGCCUCGGCAUAUUGGGAGCGAGUAAUCGGCAUCAUCACUACAAAACAUCAUAAAAGCACAAGUUAGCAAAAACCGAUGCUAUCGCAUCCCCGCUCAAAGAUAAUACCCAAAUCAGGCAAAAAUAAGGAAGUGUGCUUCACUACUAACUCCCGACGUUACGUUGUCGGCCGCCAACGUAACCCUCUGUGAAGUUAGAAGCUAUACACUUCAAUUCAACUCUAACUUUUUAGAGUUAUCAAGAUACCCAAUCAAGGUACUUUCGCUCACAAAUCAAAUAGACCUCGUCUCUCACGAGCCUAUUUCCUAUAGUCCAACCGGCCUAAGGUUUGCUAGGUCCCCUGAGACUCAACCCUAGGCUCUGAUACCAAAUUAAUCUGUCACGCCCCGGGACCCAGCGGAAGCCCGCCCGGCACGUGCCCAGACCCGCCAUACGUCUAAAACAUAUAAGGCGUCUAAAACAACGAUAAUUAAAGCAAGAAUAAAAGAUAUCUAGGAGUAUCAGAGCAUGAUAUAAGACUAAGUUCUACAAUAGAGAAAGGAACAUAAAGCAGGAAUUCACUAAUAAAAGCAUAAGGUAAUACAAAGGAGAUCCCAAAUACAAGUGCUCAAAGUAGUGUAACGCACUGGACCUUUGCAAAUUGCGAGGUUCGAGUGUUUGGAUGUAUUUCGAGCUUGCCCACACUUGGUGGAGGGUUGUAAAAUGUUUUCCGACCUGAAAAGUUCGAAAACUGGAAUUCUGGACAAGUCCUGAGAGUUUUUGCUCUCGGGGACCGGUCCCUGGAAGGAGAGACCGGUCCCCCAGUGAGCAGUGUUGAGGCAGCCUGAGGCAACCGGUCCCUGGCAGGCGAGACCGGUCCCCGAGCGCGUCUUCGCAGUGAGAGACCGGUCCCGCGCAGGGAGAGACCGGUUCCCGAACGCUGGUUUUUCGGGUUCGCAGCGAGAGACCGGUCCCUGCUGGGGAGAGACCGGUCCCUCUGGGCGAAAACUGCCCAGUUCGGGCUGAUGUAAAUUUGAGUUUUUGAGGGGCCUCUCCGGAUUUUGUUACACUAGAUGGGCUUAUUAGCCAUUUCCUCCUCUUCCCUCUCUCAUUCUCUCAUUCUCACCCUCUCCCUACACUUUCUAGAGAGAGAAGAAGAAGAAGAAGGAGGAGAAGAAGAAGAGGAGCUAGCUUGAGGGAGCUUGGAGCUCAACCCCUUUCUCUCUUUUCCACCUUUGCAAGGCUUGGAGCUUGCUUGUAGAGCUUGGUGGUGGACCAAUCUUCAACCCUAGAAGAUUUGGAGCUUGUUUGGAGGCAUCUUGGGAGGUUAGUACUUGGAUUCUACCCUUUGAUCCUUGAUUUGGUAGAUUUUACCAUAUGAAACCCUAGUUUUGGGUAUUAGGGUUGAUUUUUGGGGCUUUUUGAUCUAGGGCUUUUGGGGCUAAAUUGAUUGGUUUAGAACCUUCCUUGGGCUUGGAUUGGAAGGGUUCUAGCUCUCUUUUGGAGCUUUAGAAGAGAUUUCUUCUCUUGAGGUGAAUUUUGGCCCUAUUUGCUUCUAGAUUGAUGUUUGAUCUCAUGGUUGGUCGUAAUACUCUCGUAUCUCUUCGCUGAUCACUUUUAGGGUAUCUUGAGGCUCGUGGACAACUCCGUUCGACGAAUCGAAGGAGCACGCGACGGUUCGGUGGGUUUGGCCUAGCAUACAAUAUGAGAAAUGCUCAUAUUUGGUGUUAAAUGUUUCGUAAAGUUGAAAUUCUUGCAUUUUCAUGUUAAAUGUAUUUAUUAUGAAUUUUAGAAUGCUUAACAUGCAUAGGUUAUGUGUAGUAAAUUUUGGGACCUCUAUAUAGUAGAGAGCAUGCAUGUGUGGCCUAGCAUUCUAGUUGAGACUUGAAAUUAUAAUCCCUAUUAUGAAAACGAACCUUGCUUUCAUGCAUUCAAACUAUAUACCAGAUGUGACAUUAGGGAUUUUUGGAAGCCUAGAGAGGCUUAGGGACUUAGAUGAUAUGUGAGAUUGGGCCAAUGUCAUGAAGAGGCAUUGGGGCCCGGGGCAUAGUGAGCAUUAAUGUUAAUGUCUUAAUUGGAACAUGAUUAGUUGUGGAGCUUAAGUGUCAUAAAGAGGCACUAAGCAAGUGUGUGUUGGGACUUCACAUUAUGACUUUGAACUAGAUCUUCGGGAUGCUAGUGACUAUACCAUGUUAGAGACAUGAGGAUUGGGUACUUGAGACAGUGACCUUGCUUGUUUGCCAUUUGUGCUCAUUCGCACAUGCUUGUGAGGGUCGCUCCCCACAAGCCGGCACUCCGGAGUUGGCCUAUGCGACUUUUGUUCGCUCGUGCGGUAUUGAGACGCCUACGGGGUCGAGUGGGACAGACACAUUCCAUGUGUAGGAAUGUCGGGCUACCACAGGCACUUAGGCGGCACAAGCCGGACUACCUUGGGUAGAUCCUUAAUUGGAAAUGUAAAUCGACACGGUUUGAGAAUGAAUGAUCACUACUAGAUAGGCUUAGUAGUUGGAUUACAUUUACAUGCUUUUAGCAUAGUGUGAGACAUGUAGUAUACUUGGUUGCCAUGAUAGGACUCCUAUAUCAUGUAUUGACAAAGGUUAACAACAUUAAACUAGUGCCAUUGGACUUAAUUGCAAUGAUAGAAUAGAUAUACAUUUUGGUUGACAUCAUGCUUACUUGAGACACAGUAGACUAGCAUUUCAAAUAUGCUUUCUUUCAGCAGUGUAUUUACAUGCUCCUUAUUGCUUAUUAUUAUUAUUAUCGUUGCUUACCCUUAUUUUUAGGGCCUAGUGGAGCAUGAGCUGAGGUCAGUAAUUGCCCACUGGGAACUAUAAAUUAUAGUUCUCACGCCCUCUUUUUCUCGAUGUUUUUCAGAGCCUUCCACUCAGGGUGAGGCCAGGGAUCGCGGGAAGGGAGUUGCUUCGAGCUAGCUUCCUUCGAGAACGAGUUGCUAGGUGGUCUACCUCUCGAUUUUUAUUUCUUUUUGCGAGAGGUUGAGAGUUUUACCAGUGUACUAGAGACCACCACUUUUGUAUUUUGGAGAUAGAUUUUGUACUACUUGUUUUCUUUCAUGUAUUAGUUAUGUUCUAUUACUAUUGGUGUAGAUGUUAUAACUUUACUCGCUCUGAUAUCAUUAGUUGCUAGUUAUUUCACUUCUUUUAUUUGUUCCAUCUCUUGCUUUUACUUCCGCUUUUCUUGUAGACGCCUUAUAUGUGUAGACAUAUGGCGGGUCUGGGCACGCUACUGGGAGGGCCUCCGCCGGUCCCGGGGCGUGACAAGUAGAUACAUAGGUGGUCUCUAUACGUGGAUACAAAAUCUCUCGCUUUCUCUCAACUACAAAAAGAAAGAGUAAACCACAUAGGCAAAGAACCGCUCCUCGCUAGCUAGCUAUGCGAUCCCCUUGCCGCGAUCCCGUGCCUCCGCCGGUGCAGAAGGCUCUGAAAGAAACCACGAAAAAGAGGGCGUGAGAACUCUUAAAAAUAGUUCCCAGUGGGCAAUUACUGACUUCAGUUAAUGCACCACAAGGCCAAAGCUACAAGGGAAGUGGUCAGCGACAAUAAAAACAGUAAAGCGAAAUGUAAGUAAAAGUGUAACUUACUAUAACAUGAAGUCUCUACUUAGCAUGAUUUGCAUAAGUAAUAAAGCAACUAUAUCAUGGAUGUACAUGGAUAGGUAUGACAUGCAUAAUCAUAGAAAUGCAACCAACUCGAUGUCCUCAAUGCAAAAAUAGUAAAGAUGUCAUUGUUUACUAUUCUAAUCCAAGUCCACGUUUCACUUUAAUAGUUUUAAAGUUCAUAUGGCAUACACUGUCACUAUGUUCCAAUCAUAUAAGACCCAUCCGAAGGUUGUUUGGCCUGCGCCGUGCCUAAUGGCCCCGUGGUAGUCAACAUCCCCACUCUAGGAAUGAGCCUCCCCCACGGCAAUCCACUUCGGCGCCCAAUCCCGCACGGGCGAGCAUAUGUCGCGAUGGCUAUCUCCGGAGUGCCGGCUUGUAGGGAGCGACCCUCACAAGCAUAUGCGAAUGAGCACAAAUGGCAAGCAAGCAAUGAUCCGUCUCAAGUCUCAUGUCUAAAACAUGGAAUAUAUCGAAUGUCCCCAUGGUCUAUCUCUAUGUCGUCAUGUCUCUAAUAUGGAAUAUAGCAGAUAUGUGUUGGCCUAUCAAUGUGUCACUAUGUUGUAAUUUCAUAGUUUACUAGUUUCAAGUGCCCCUUAAGGACACUUUGUUCUCUAUGUCAAGCAUGGUAACUAUGUUCCAAGGUUCAUGUUCCAAGUCGUAUUCUUCCUAAGAGAUAUGUUCUCAACUUGCACAAACAAACACUUUAUCAUAUGCAUGCUGCCUACACAUUUAGCUCUACUAUAUAGAGUACAAUUUUUAUGAUACAUAGCACAUGCAUUUUAAGUGUUCUAGAAUUCAUAUAAAUUCUACUUAGUAUAGAAAUGCAUUCAAAAGUACUUUACAACAAGUAUUAAGAGCAUAGGGGCCAUUUUGCCCAAUUUCCACGAAGCCAAACCCACCAAAAUCGUCUUCUUCGUUUCGCCGAACGAAGGUAUCCACAAGCUUCCUAAUACCCUAGAAACAUCAAAAGUAGGGUCACUCGAACGAAACGAAGAGCCAUUGGCUCAAUCAUUAAGCUUCUCAAGCUAGGGUUGGGAAAAACUCAUCUCAAGUGAAAAACCCUCUUAAUCUUCAAAUGGGAGGUAGAGGUUUUCCAAUCUAACCUAUAUAAAGGUUCCAAACCAUUCCAAUGAGAUCAAGAAGCCUCAAAUCAAGAAUCCCCAAAUCUAACCCUAAAAUCCAAAAUCUAGGGUUUAAACAAGCAAAAAGCCCCAAAACUAAGAUCUAGAGGAAGGAACCUUGCCACUUACCUCUAGGAUGCUCCAAUCCAAGCUCAAAAUCUUCUAGGGUUGAAGAUUGAUCCACCACAAAGCUCCAAAAGCAAGCUCCAAGCCUCCAAAGGUGGGAAAUGAGGAAGAAGAUGGUGCUCCAAGGCCUCCAAGCAAGCUCCUCUCCUCUCCUUCUCCUUCUCCUUCUUCUCCUUCCCUUUCUCUCUCUAGAAGUGUAAGGAGAGUGUGAGGGAGAAAAAAUGAGAGUGAGAGGGGGUAGAGAGGCUGCCAAAAGCCUCUAAGGUAACAAAAUCCACUUAGGCCUCUUAAAAAUCCACUCUGUGCACUGCCUGGUCUGGGCCGCUCACGCGCUGAGGGACCGGUCUCUCCCUGCCAAGGACCGGUCUCUCGGCCCGUCCCGCAAAACCAGCGUUCGGGAACCGGUCUCUCACAGCCAGGGACCGGUUGUCUCAAGCCCUGUCGCAGCACUGUGCUGAGGGGACCAGUCUCUCAUAUCAGGGACCGGUCCCCGAGAGUGAAAACUCUCAGGACUUGCCAAAACUCUAGAGAUCGAACUUUUAGGCCGGUAUACAUCGACGGCCCUCCACUAAGUGUGGAAAAGUUCGGAAUACAUAUCGAACACUCGAACCUCGCAAUUUGCAAAGGUCCAGUGUGCUACAGGUAGAUAUUCGUUGUUCAUCGUAUGAGCAUAGCUUAGGAAGGAUCAAUGAAAGAACGUUCGUGAAGUCAUCAGUGCAGCUUCGAACUCUGUCCCAGCGUGCUUCUUCCCCUUCUGCUGCUCCACCUCCUGCUGCUGCUACUUCUUCACGUCCUUCUAUGGACAUUUUCGAGGAAGAUGUCUCAGUUUCCUCUGUGUAUCGUGAGCAACAACGUUUGUCUGAAGAGCUUCAGAAACUAUCUGCGGAACAAGCUGCAAUACGGAAUGAUGUAAGCAAAAUGAAGCGGUUAAUGCAGGCGAUUUUUGACAAGUUAGGAUAUUACCGAGCAGAUUUACCUCCAGGGGAUGAUUCAGAUUAGAUGUUACGGGGUUCCUCCUUUGGUCAUUUUGGCGCUUUCUGACAAAAAGGGGUAGAUGACAUGUGAAUGAUAUGAUGGCUCAUGAUGAUGAUGAUGGCUGAUGAGAUGAUGAUGUCUAAUGAGAUCUGAUGAGGAUACUGUUUUUUUUUUUUUGAUUAGUUGUGUAAAUUUAGGCUAGAUGUUUGUUUAGGUGCUUAACUAUGAACUAUGACUUGUUGUUUUGAUUGCUUUGACGUUUGAUCUUUUAUGAUAAUUGCUUGAAUCUUGAUUGUGUUUUUUUUAAGAAUGUUUUUGCAGGAAUAUUCAAGACUUCAAGAUUCCGGGUCUAAGUCAUAGAGUCUGUAUUAAGGUUGAAAAAUGUAAUUUUUCUUUUAUUGGAUCGAUCGUGCAGGAGAUUGUCGUUUGGUGAUUGCGAUGAUCUUCUUUUUAUUGUUUCUGAGUUGUGUAUGAACUUUGUAGUAUAUUUUGUCACGAAAUCACCAAAGGGGGAGAUUGUUAAGGAUGUUAUAGGUUGGCGGAUUUCGUAAUGUUGAAUGGAGUCUUGAAGAGUUGAUCGCGGAAGUUUGAAGAAAAGAUCCAAAUUGAAGAACAAAGACUCAUUCGGAAAGCUCGGCAUCUAAGGUAUGAAGAAUGGAUGAUUUAUGGUGAAGUUAUUUAAUUAUAAUAAGUUCAGAAGGCUUAGAUUGCUUUAAAAAUUAUUUUACUGAACUUGUAUGUGUUCUGGGACCGGUCCCUGUGUUGAAGAGACCGGUUCCCCUAAGGUUCUCACUGCGUGAACAUUGAUGCAACCGGUCGCCUGAGAUGAGAGACCGGUUCCCGAACAUUGGAAAUUCUGUCGCGCAGCAAGGGAUCGGUCUCUGGCUUGAGAGACCGGUUCUCGAACGUUGUGUUUUUGAUCACGCAGCAAGGGACUGGUUCCUCACUUGAGAGACCGGUCUCUCACAGACCGGUCUCCUCGAGAGGACCGGUCCCUGAGGACGACACAUGUUUUUAAAAAGGACUUUUUGCAAUCCUAGUCUACUUUUAAGUCUUCUAAACAUAUAAAUAAGCCAUGGGGGUCAUCUUAAAGUUUAAGGCUUUGAAUUCUUACUAAUUCUAAACCCUAGAAACUUGUUUUUCCGUUCUGAUGAUUCUACUCACAUAACAAGUUUCGAAAAAUCAACAAUCGACUUGGUUCUUUGAUUUUACUUGAGAUCUUAUUCGAGAAUCAAGUUGAUGUUUGAUUAGAAGACGGACCCUCAUAGCUUAUGGGAUUCUAAAGCUUAAUCACCACAAAUCUUCGAUUCUACAAGCUUCGGAAGGAGAUUCGGCGUGUGGAUCUCGCGUGUAGCCGAGGAUUCGGUGGACGCUUUGAGGAGUUGAGGCAUUGACGCUGCGUAGAGUUUCGGCGAGGUCGAUUGGAGGAUUCCUAUCGAUCGAGGACCGGCGAAGAUCAUCAUCAACAAGAAAUCGGUAAAUUGAGUCGUGUGUUUUUGUCAAAAUCACUUGUACUCAAGCUUUCUUAGUGGAUUUUCUUUGCGUGAUCGGUCCCGUGGGUUUUUCACUCCGGCUUGGAGUUUUUCCACGUUAAAUUCUCGGUGUGCUGUUUUAUUUUUCGCUAUUUCAUUUUAUUUGCAUCGAGAUUUUUGAGUUUGCCGUUUUUACACCUAUUCACCCCCCUCUAGGUGUUACUUAUCUUUUAGAUCCUCGGGAUCCAUAUCUUAUACCGGUCACUCGGGGAGAGACCGGUUCCCGAACGCGUGCGCCCGAGGGGGGCUCUCGGGGACCGGUCCCAAGUUGUGGAGACCGGUCCCUCCGCGCGAAUUCUGCCCAGUAAGGGCUGUGCAAGGAUGGAAAAGUGGAGGGGUUUAAGUGCAAAAUGGCCAUCAUAUGAGGGGUGUAUAUAGGAAAUUACCCUCUCUUUCUCUCAUUCUCAUCCCCUCACUCCCUCUCAUCACUCUCCCUCUCUCUCGCUAGAAAGAGAAGAAGCACAAGAAGAACAAGAAGGAGAUGAAGGAAAAGGAGAAGAAGAAAAGGAAGAAGAAGAAAAGGAAGAAGAAGAAGAAGGAGAAGGAGAUCAAGGAGAAGGCUUUAAACAACUCCCUCUCCCUCUCCUCUUUCCAUUGGUGUAGCUCAAGAGGUAAGCUACAAACCCUAGCUUGUAGAACUUAGGGUUUUGGGUUUUGAGCUUUGGAAAUGGGGUCAAAUGGACCCCUAGCACCAUUGUUGGUGGAUCAAAGCUAAAGUUAGGGUUCCAAAUAACAAAUGGCAAGAUGGGAACCCUAGGGCACCCAAAAUGGGGUUUUUGGUGAAGUAUGAGAUUGAUCUUAUUUGAGACCUCGUAAACCUAAUUGGUAGGUCACAAAACGCUGGGGCGUAGUCGAUUUCGCGAUUCGACUAGUGAAUUGGGAGCUAUCAGCGAAAUACGGCCGAUUUAGCCUUGUCUUGGACCGAGAAGGACGAGAUCUUGUCGUAAGGUGCGCCGAGGAGCGUUUCUAAAGCCUCUACAUCGAUAAAAGGUGGGGGGUGCUAUCCCGAAGCUUUCAAACUCCUUUCUAUGUCUUAGAUUGCAUUUAAUCUCAUUUCUUACAUGUUGCAUUGUAGGAUUGCAUAGUAGCUCCAUUCCUUAUACUUUCUAAUUGAUAACCUAGUGCAUUUGGAAUGCUUGAUAACUUAGAUAGGUGAGGAUUGGGUCGGAAUGUGGAUCCUAUGAUGCGAAAGAAAAUAGAUGAACCCGAUGGAGGUUGGUGACAUAGAAAGUAGUGUUUAAUGUCAAAGAACAAACGAGUGGCAUCCAAAUGUUAAAGAAUAACGAGUGGCAUUAAUGUAGUGUAAAUGACACUAGAGGUUUGAGAACCUAUGGAUAGAUGGAUCCUUUAGAAAAUGCCUUGUGGAUAAAGAACUUAGUAAACCUAAGUACCCUCACAUGGAGAGGUUGUCGAUGAGUUAUUGAGACAUUGACUCUAGUUGUAGAGCAUCCUCACUUGGAGAGGAUUUGAUUGGGUUAUUGACUCUAGUUGUAGAGCAUCCUCACUUGGAGAGGAUUCGAUUGGGUUGUUGACCCAAGUUGUAGGGUAUCCUCACUUGGAGAGGACAGAUCUAGCUCACAGUCUGCUUUUGGGGUGGUAUAGCCAUCCAUAUACCCACAUGGAGGGGAUUGUCGUCGAGUACUCCGGAGUGUUGUGCGACUAGGACCACUUGGAGGUCCGGACCACAUGGAGGUCCGCAGACGGUCCCGGGCUUGGGUGCACUUGGAGCUCCCUCCCCACUUUGGAAUUGAAAGGUGAGUUAUUGGCGAACCCUAGGGCUUCGCUACAGAUUGGGUAAAAGAACAGUGAACAAUGUCAUUGAACAUUAUCAUUCGAACAUAGAUCGAAUUUGUUAGAAUGAUAGUAAACCUUUACUAUAUGAUGCAUGCAUUCAUUACACAUGAUUAUGGGCAUAGUAGCAUAGUUUUCCUACUAUCACAUUUAUGGCAUUUAGAUAUCUAUCUAUCUAUCUAUCUAUUGUUGCUUGUGCCCACUUGGACCUAGUGGGGAGAUCGGCAGAGUCGGCGGCCGAGCCCACUGGGAACUAUGGAAGAUAGUUCUCACCCCACUCUAUUUCCAGUGGUAGGUACAGGGUUGCCGAGAGAGGACCGCGGCAAGGGCAUUGCGGCCGACCAGUGAGACCAUGGUAGUAUAAUAGCUUCCCUUUUUGCAUUAGUACACCUAUGUAUUGAGAGAGAUUCAUUGUAGGUGAGGAUUUGGAGAGCUAUGUAUUUUGGAUGAAAGAUGUAAUCAUUUAAAGAAAAUGAUGUAAAUGAAAAGGAUGAACUAUUGUUAUAGUUAGCAAGGUACUCUCUUUACUUCAUAUGUUAUUCCUGUGGAUUACUUGCUCUCGUAGUUGUUGGCACAAUUUGUGCCCCGUUGAAUGUGUAUGUUUAGAAUUUAAAUUCUUGGGAAAUUCUUGUACACAUUCUUGUUGUGAGCCUUGGGCGGACAGGGGAGGUGCUGUCUGUUCGGCGGACCGCUCGCCGCGCCCGAAUCGUGCCAAAUUGGUAGUGAUCUCGGGGCGGGGCGUGACAUGAGUAGUCUAAUGUUGUUCCGGUUUUUGUUCUUGUGAACAUUGACAUCGAUUCGUUCCAAAUUUACACUCUCGGGGCAUAAUAGAACAAUAUAAUUAGGUUUUACGCUUUAUUAGAUAGAAUGAGAAAAAGUACCCGUUGCAAAGUUAUACUGUUAGGGUGCAACUGAGUAGUCUAAUGUUAUUCUGAUUUUUAUUCUUGUGAACGUUGACAUCGAUUCGUUCCAAAUUUACAAUCUCGGGGCAUAAUAGAACAAUAUAAUUAGGUUUUACUCUUUGUUCGAUAGAAUGCGAAAAAGUACUCGUUGUAAAGAUAUACUGUUAGGGCGCAACUGAGUAUUCUAAUGUUGAUCUGGUUUUGGUUCUUAUGAAUGUAGACAUCAAUUCAUUCCAAAUUUGCACUCUCGGGGCAUAAUAGAACAAUAUAAUUAGGUUUUACACUUUGUUCGAUAGAAUGAGAAAAAGUACUCGUUGUAAAGUUAUACUGUUAGGGCGCAACGAAGUAUUCUAAUGUUGUUCCGGUUUUGGUUCUUGUGAACGUUGACAUCGAUUCACUCAAAAUUUACACUCUCGGGGCAUAAUAGAACAAUAUAAUUAGGUUUUACUUUUUGUUCGAUCGAAUGAGAAAAAGCACUCGUUGUAAAGUUAUACNGUUUUUGUUCUUGUGAGCGUUGACAUCGAUUCGUUCCAAAUUUACACUCUCUAGGCAUAAUAGAACAAUAUAAUUAGGUUUUACGCUUUCUUCAAAAAAAUGAGAAAAAUUACUCGUUGCAAAGUUAUACAGUUAGGGCGCAACUGAGUAGUCUAAUGUUAUUCCGGUUUUUGUUCUUAUGAGCGUUGACAUCGAUUCGUUCCAAAUUUACAAUCUCUGGGCAUAAUAGAACAAUAUAAUUAGAUUUUACGCUUUCUUCGAUAAAAUGAGAAAAAGCACUCGUUGCAAAGUUAUUCUGUUAUGGCGCAACUGAGUUGUUUAAUGUUGUUCCGGUUUUUGUUCUUGUGAGCGUUGAUAUCGAUUCGUUCCAAAUUUACACUCUCUGGGCAUCAUAGAACAAUAUAAUUAGGUUUUACGAUUUUUUUUAUAAAAUGAGAAAAAUUACUCGUUGCAAAGUUAUACUGUUAUGGCGCAACUGAAGUGCCUAAUGUUGUUCCAGUUUUUGUUCUUGUGAGCGUUGACAUCGAUUCGUUCCAAAUUUACACUCUCUAGGCAUAAUAGAACAAUAUAAUUAGGCUUUACGCUUUCUUCGAUAAAAUGAGAAAAAGUACUCGUUGCAAAGUUAUACUGUUAGGGCGCAACAGAUUUGUCUAAUGUUGUUCCGGUUUUUGUUCUUAUGAGCGUUGACAUCGAUUCGUUCCAAAUUUACACUCUCUGGGCAUAAUAGAACAAUGUAAUUGGAUUUCACGCUUUUUUCGAUAAAAUGAGAAAAAGCACUUGUUGCAAAGUUAUUCUGUUAUGGCGCAACUGAGUUGUUUAAUGUUGUUCGGAUUUUUGUUCUUGUGAGCGUUGACAUCGAUUCGUUCUAAAUUUACACUCUCGGGGCAUAAUAGAACAAUAUAAUUAGGUUUUACGCUUUCUUCGAUAAAAUAAGAAAAAGCACUCGUUGCAAAGUUAUACUGUUUGGGCGCAACUGAGUAGUCUAAUGUUAUUCCGAUUUUUGUUCUUAUGAACGGUGACAUCGAUUCGUUCCAAAUUUAUAAUCAAGGGGUAAAAUAGAACAAUAUAAUUAGGUUUUACUCUUUGUUCGAUAGAAUGCGAAAAUAUACUCGUUGUAAAGUUAUACUGUUAGAGCACAACUGAGUAUUCUAAUGUUGUUCCGGUUUUGGUUCAUAUGAAUGUUGACCUCAAUUCAUUCCAAAUUUGCACUCUCGAGGCAUAAUAGAACAAUAUAAUUAGGUUUUACUCUUUGUUCGAUAGAAUGAGAAAAAGUAAUCGUUGUAAAGUUAUACUGUUAGGGCGCAACGAAGUAUUCUAUUGUUGUUCCGGUUUAGGUUCUUAUGAACGUUGACAUCAAUUCCUUCCAAAUUUACACUCUCUGGGCAUAAUAGAACAAUAUAAUUAGNNNNNNNNNNNNNNNNNNNNNNNNNUGAGCGUUGACAUCGAUUCGUUCCAAAUUUACACUCUCUGGGCAUAAUAGAACAAUAUAAUUUGGUUUUACGCUUUCUUCGAUAAAAUGAGAAAAAGUAUUCGUUGCAAAGUUCUACUGUUAGGGCGCAACUGAGUAGUCUAAUGUUGUUCCGGUUUUGGUUCUUUUGAACGUUGACAUCCAUUCGUUCCAAAUUUUAAUUUAUCUCAAACAGAUUUAAAUAUUAAUUCUUAUCCAAAUAGGAUUUAACUACAAAUCUAACCAAAUCCUAACAACAUGAACAAAGUACCAAGAGUGUUAGUUUUAUGUUAGAAUUAUAUCUAAAUACCAGCAAAAUUUGAGCUGUUGAUUAAGUAUUUUUAUAUAUAUUAAGCACUACCAUGUCCUCGUAAUGAUAUGUUCUAUUUCACUUAUGUGAUAGAUAUUGAAAUGUGCCUAAGCAAAGUUAGUGGAACUGUAUCGCAUUGAAAGGUUAGUAGAGCCUUUUUGUGGGUCACACACAAGUUGAAUUGCAAAAAAGUAAUGCUAUGCCCCCUCCUAAAAGUAGAUGUGAGUAGAUAUUUAGUUAAACUGGUUCGUUUGGGCUCUGUGGGACACACAUUAUAUGAUUUAAAUUCAUUGAUUUUGAUUCUGUAUGUUCUGAUAUCAAAAUUUAUGUCAUAAAAUGAUGAGCGUGGGAAUUGAACUUAAGAGGUACCUCUUAGAACAGAGAAGGCUUAGGAUAUACCAUAUUAUCCAAAAGUUCGAUUAGACUAUUCUGACAUCUGAAUAACCUGAGAGCAGACAUAGCUAAAGAAUCAAAUGGCAGCUAGGAGAAGAUGGGUGAUUUAGUUGGCAAAUAAAAUUCAAGUAAAUUUAACCUGAGAUAAAAACUGCACAACAUAAAUAAAAGAAAGAAAAGAAGAAAGCAAACAUAUAUGAAGCAGAUGAUUUAUCGCAGUUCGAUCUUUUCACCUACUCUAGUCCGGUCCUCUAUCUUCUCAAGACUCUCAUAUAAAUAUGAUUAGUUAAUUCAGAUUUGGCAAAAAUUCAGCACGGAUAUAAUUCGAAUAAAAUUCGUAUCUCAAUUUUUAAAUUUAUUGAAAAAUAUGACUUAAAAAAUGGAUUUGCCAAUUUUUCGGAUAUGCGAUUUAUAUGAAAAUUAUACGUUCACCAAUUAAAUAAAAAAUUCAGCUAUUAAACUAAGUUUUCUUCUCUAGAUUUAUGCUACUAGCAUACAUAAAUUCUUAAGAAUAUAAAAAUAGAGAGCUCCAAAGUAAAAUAGAUUAAUAAAAAAGUAAUAACAAAUUUUAUUAUCGUCUCCAUCUUCAUUUUUUUCAGAAUCCACAUACUCCGAAAGUUUAUGAAGUUUUUCAAUAAUACACGAAUAAUUCGGCAAUUAUUUGGAAAAAAAUUUUAUUCAAAAAUUUUACGUGUUUGUUUGGCUGAAUAGAUCGGCAUACGAGAGUUAUUUUAAAAAUAACUGUAUUUUAUCCAAGGCAAGUCCCCCGGGACCACGGCAAGACUUGCCUUGGGUCUAGGGUUCCGAGCCGUGCUGUGCCGGGCCAACGGCCUCUCCUCGUGCCUGGCCGUCGGGCCCCAGAAAUGCAGCCCAGCACGGCCUGAAGAGCCUGGCCGGCCCGGCCCGGCCCGGCACGAAUGCUACAAUAUCUGUGCCGGGCCGGGCGGCCGGCUGCCCGGCCCGUUUUACACUCCUAACUAGCACUCUGCGAUAGGCUGGGUCUACCACUUGUUCCAAAACCAACUCUAUAUCCUAAUCUAUUUUAAAUAAAGUUCGGAUAAUUACAAAUUAUGAAUUCUCUUAAAUUUUGCUUCACACAAUUUUUGGUUGCAUCAUAAAACAAUUUGGAUGUAAAAAUUCGAGACAUAUUUAAUAGAACUUUUUGUAUAUAUAUAUAUAUAUAUAUAGAGUGAGGCUACUAUGCUAUCGGAAGCACGGAGCCUUCCGUGCUUCCAGCUCGUUUUCGAUGUUGUGAUUUUUGAAUCGUCGAUCGGCUCCGUUAAACUUGAUCUAGAGUAUUUGNNNNNNNNNNNNNNNNNNNNNNNNNUAGUAAUUUGAAGUACCUAGAAAAUAAAUUUAUGAUUUACGAUAUCAUUUGGCCUAGUGAACGAAGGGGCUCAAAAUGCACGGCUGAAAAAUAAAAUCUUACAAAUGUAAUAAUAUGACAUUAAAUUUUAAAUCAAGAUAUUGAACUUGUUUUAUAUAGUAUAAUAAGAAUUUUCUAUCAAAAUUUCACUGUGAUUUGGAUAUUUUCACCGUUAAACUUGCAAACGGCUCAUACGGCAUUGAAAUUUGUUGAUUUUGAGCCAUUCGAUCAACUAGGCAAAUGAAUAUCGAAAAAAUAAUAAAAUUAUUUUCUAGUACUCCAAAUACUUCUUAGAUCAAUUUACCGAGCCGAUGCGACUCGAUUUGAAAGUCGCAACAUCGAAAACGAGCUGGAAUCGACGGAAGGCUCCGUGCUUGCCAAUAGCAUAGUAUAGUCUCACUCUAUAAUAUAUAUAUAUAUAUAUAUAUAUAUAUAUAGAGUCGGCUACUAUGCUAUUAAUAGUACGAAGCACUUGUGCUACCUAAUUUUUCCGCGCGUUAGAUCUAGCCCUUUUGUGAUUCAUUUCACCAGUUAGAUCAUACAUUCACCACACACCACUCAAACCAUAGGGGCCCACAUCAUCCUAACCGACAUUCUUAAUCCAAUACAACCCAACUGGGUGUAGCACAAUUGCUUGGUGCUAUUAAUAGCAUAGUAGCGCUAGUUCUAUAUGAGUCCGGCUAACUAUGCUAUUAAAUGUACGAAUGCGGCUUGUGGCUACAAGUUUUCCGCCGUUAGAAUGCUACACUUUUGAUUAUUUCAUCCGUUUAGAUCAUAACUAUUCAACCAACCACCACUCAAAUCCUAGGGGCCACAUCAAUGCCUAACCGCACCAUCUCUUCAUCCAAUGGCCCAAAAAACUGAGGUAGCACCAAUGACUUGGUGCUAUUAAUAGCAUAGUAGCCUAGUUCUACUAUGAGCCGGCUACUAUGGCUAUUAAUUGUACGAAGCACUUGGUGCUACCCAAGUUUUCCGCCGUUAGAGUCUAUCCCUUUUGAACAUUUUUCACGAUCCGUUAGAUCAUUCUAAUUCAACCAACCACCCACCAAACCCUUAAGGGGGGGGGCCCCAAUAUCAUCCUUAACGCACAUCUCUUAAUCAAUGCCGAAAACUGGGUAGCGACAAUGACUUGGUGCUAUUUAAUAGCAAUACCUAGUUCUAUAUGAGUCCGGCUAACUAUGCUAUUAAUAGUAUGAAGCACUUGGUGCUAACCAAGUUUUCCGUAGCCGUUAGAUCUACCCUUUUGACAUUAUCAUCCCGUUAGAUAUACUAUUCAUGCUAGUUAGAGUGUAAAACGGCCGGGCAGCCGGCCGCCCGGCCCGCACGGAUAUUGUACAUUCGCGGGCGGGCUCGGGCCGGCAGGCUCUUCGGGCCGUGCUGGGCUGCAUUUUCUGGGGCCGACGGCCAGGCAUGAGGAGAGCCGUUGGCCGCACAGCAGGCCCGGAACCCCUAGACCCAAGGCAAGUCUUGGCCGUGUCCCGGGGGACCUUGCGUUGGAUAAAAUCGUUUAUUUUAAAUAAUUUCGUAGCCGAUCUUAUUCAGCCAACAAACAUGCGAAAUUUUUGAAUAAAAUUUUUUUGCCAAAUAAUUGCCGAAUUAUUCGUGUUUAUUGAAAAAACUGCACUCUCUUAAUCGCAAUCCAAAACUGGGUACACCAUGACUUGGUGCUAUUAUCGCGAUAGUAACCUAGUUUAUAUAUAUAUAUAAAUAUAUAUUAUAUAUAAUAUAUAUAUAUAAUAUAUAUUAUAUAUACAAAAUGAUAAGCCAAAAGCUGUUUAAUUAAAAAAUGAAAAUUCCCCUAACUAUAUAUUCGGAGGCAAUUAACUAUAUCUGAACAUCAUAAUUUAUCUCUAAGUAAAUUUAAUAGUUUAUUUUAGAUGGCUAUUUUUGAUGUCCUAGUUUAGCAUUAGAGUUCCUGCAAACCCAAAAAAACAAAAAAUUAUAACUAAACUAAAACUGAGCUGAAAUUUCUUUGAGUACGGAUUUUUACAGUUUGAGCGUGGAAAACUUAACGAUCCAUAAUUUUUCGCUCGAGUGUUUGUUUAUUAGUGUACAAUCUCAAUUCAAAAAACACCAUUCUAGAGAAUCUAUGCAAGAGCAACACAACGUGGUUUGAACCGAUUUUGGGAUCCAAAUUUUGGGAUCCGAAUUCAACUGUUAGGUCUCUGUUUUUAUAUUAUUAAAUUAUUUUGAAAAAUUCUUAGGUCUCUGUUUCCUUUUUUUUUUUUCCGCCUCCUUUUUUUUCACAUUCAUUGUGUCAUUGAGAGAUAGACAAAACGUUCUGUAGACACAACCUCUAAACUACAACGAUCAAGCACACACUCUGCUCAUGCAAAAUACACACUCCCAGCAGCGCAUCUCACCCCUGCCGUGAUCGAAAUCGGAUCCGAAACACUGCGUGAUCUCUCGAUACCGGGUAGAUCAGACUGUCUCCUCUUUCGCGAUCUCGUACUCCACGUAUCUUAUGCCCAAUGCCUCGCAGUCGCUCUCCGAAUCGUGGCUGCAGGCCUCAUUCAGCUCCCCCGCACGGCACGACUGCACCGCCGUCAUCUGCGCCGUCCGCAGAAGCAUGUUGUCAGCCCCGCUCGUGAAGCCAUCAUCGCGUCGCACGAGUUCACAACCUCACGCGAACUCGCGACGUCCCCCGUUGCCUCCGUCGCGCCGACACCACUCUGAAUCUCGCUCUUCGCCAUCGACAUCCCCACCUUCCUUUCUCGUUCAUCACGACCUCUGACGCGCUCUUUCGUCAGCAGCAUCAGUAGUCUCGGAUUUCGCCUCUUAUCUACCUCGCUCUCUUCAGCGGGGGGAAGCAUUGUCUCAGGAACUCCUUGAAGUCGCUCACUGGAAUAGUUAUUUGGAGAUAUCGAGGAUCAAUGCCCGAGCUCUUUGUGCUAUUUUAGUCCACAUGAACGAAGGGGAAGCAAUGAACUCGCUCUCGCCGUCGAGGUCGAUGAUCGAUAUUUGAGAGUUGCAGUUAGCAUUGGCGUGGUACUUCAUGAAUCCAUUGCCAGUGAAGUUCGUGACGAGGAACCGAACGCUCGCCGUUAUAUUCGGCGAGAGUGAUUAGAGGGGGAUCAGAAUGUCGUGAAGUCGUGGAAGAGAUUUCCGACGAACCCGCCCGUCGAAGAAGACGAUCGCCGGGACUUCCGUGCCUGGAAGUGCAGAAGGGAUCUGAUCAUUUGCCGGAGAAGAAUUAUGUGAGUUCUUGAUUGAGUCCAUGGUGUUCUGCUCGCCACUUUUCGCGCGUACGGCCUGAUCUUGUAUGAUGGAUGAGAGGUGUUGUUGUUGUUGUCGAAGGCCGCCGAGAUGAUGACCAAAACGCGACAAUUUGAUAUCGCGUGGUCGCCAGGUAACAAGUGUCAGAUCUUUGUUUGGCGAGUAGUCGCAAACCGAUUUUGUUCUUUGGAUUUAAACAUCUGUGUUUGACAGAGAACUGUAUAUUAGAAUAUAUGUGAUGGAUAAAAUACACAACACAAUUCUUUUUUCGGCUUAAUGAAGACAGCAGGUAGGCUUGCUACUUUUAUAUUCUCAAAGAAAAAAAAAAGAAGAAGAUAAAUAACCAUCUUUUGUAAAGCUGAUUCUAAUUGAUACAAAAAAUUAUCUAAUAUAUCACCCUUUUUUCCCAUUUUUGUUUAUUAAGGCUAUUGACAAAAGGUAAUUUUUUCUUGUAUCUACCAAAUGCAUAAGCUUAGAUAUCUUUAAAUAUACUUGGGGCAUGAUAUAUAGCAUUGAAUAUAUAUGGAUGCAGGCAGAACCUAUUAUAUACGUACCCUUGGGGUUGAUUUUUUUUUUUUUUGAGAGGAUAGGUAGUACGCGCUACCCGCUUGUUAUUUUAUUAGAAAUAAACUUAGCGUAGAAAUGAAUCAUUAGGAUUCGAACUUGGGUCUCAGGGUACCAACGCAAGCCUUGCCACUUGCCUAAGGGACCGGUCGGUCUGGGUGAUUCUUGCUCCUUAUUUUUGUCUCAUGGGACAGGCUCAUUAGAGCAACAACAAAAUCCUUUUUCUUUGGCUUCUCCUUCGUACCAAUGUUGACUCGAAAGAUUGAUCUUAUGAAAGGAGCAUAGAAAUUUUUUCAUUUAACAUUCCACUUACGUGCACGCUGGAUAUAAAAGGUAUAUAGAGGUGAAAAUUUUCACACCGUUAAUUAAAUAUUAAGUGCGGAAUUGAAUCCGUGAUUCCCCGCUAAAUAUUUAAAGUGGGGAUUGAUUUCACGGACCUUAAGAAUGAAGGAAGUUUAAAUAGUUCUGACAUCAUGUUCAAUAAAAUAUAAUCAACUUUAGUUCCAAAGCUAAAUAUUUAUAUUGACUAUUCCUCGGCUCAUGAGUUUGGGCACAGAAUAUUUUUCAAUAGCCCAAGGUGUGGACUUUGAAUUAAAUGAGAAAAAAGUUGUAAAUAUUAAGAGCUGACGAAACUUCAAACUCAGAGCCUCCCAGUUGAUACCAUAUUUAAAUUAAAUGAAAUAACCGUUGUUCUAGGUCAAAAUCUUUAGCUUUUGAAAAUAACGAUUGUUUCGUAUUAUUUAACACAGAUAAAGAAAAGGUUAUUACAUUCGUAUAUGCGCUAGGAUUUUCUACCUUUGAUGGUUGUCUGCUUUCUUAUCUCUAUCUCCAGACUCUUAGACGCAACAAUCUUCUUUUUUCUGCUUUCUCCUUCGCAUUACGAAUGAACAUCGCCAUUUUGAAUUCUGAAAUUUCAUAAUGCACUGCAACAAAUUUAAUCACAUUUUUUUCUCUCGCAAAAAGAAAAAUAGUUUGUUUGACGCUUCGUACGUCGCCACAAAUUUCCACUGACACAUGCAAAGUCGAAAACAUGUUCUUAGUUAUAUAAAAGGUACAAUUGCCACCGGCGCUAUACCUCGCGGGCUAUGCCAUUUCCAUCCUCCUUGGCUUCGAUCGUAGAUCUUAUCUGCGAUAUGAAUUUACAGUUUACCGAACGUAAUUCGCUCUAAAAUCCAUCUUUUUGUGAGAACGAAUAAUAGAUAGUCCUUUUAAAAACCUAGGUUUAGCAUCUAUGAGGAAACCAUGGGUGCUAGCUUCAAUGUGAGCUAGAUCCAUCAUCUCUAAACUCAUUAGGUUCCGUUUGAACCAAUAAAAGCAACAAAACCCAUCAAACCCUAGAAAUCCAAAACUAGGGUUAGAGCUUACCUCUAGGAUUUGCUCCAAAAUAAACUUUAGCUUGAUGGAGAGGAGGGAGAAGAGCUUCUUAGUCUUCUCCUUGAUCUUCUCCUUCCUUUCUCUCCUUAUCUUCUUCUUCUUUCUUCCUCUUUUCUUCUUCUCCUUCUUUUUCUCCUUCAACCGGUUAGAGAGAGAGAGAGGGAGCUAGAGAGAGAGAGAGGCUGUGAGAGUGGGAGAGGGCACAGCUGAGGAUAGGAGGGUUAAGUCCUCUAUUGUAACAAUGUGCUAAAAAGCCCUCCAUUUAUCAGAUUUUGCAACUUAACCCGCUACCUGCGCGCCCUUGUACCGGUACACGGGACCUUGUACCGGUACAAGGCCUUAUACCGAGCGCAAAUCGAGCCUCGGGUUUCUGUGUUUCGCAGAGCUUGUACCGGUACAAGCCAGCCUUGUACCGGUACAGCGCCUGAAGCCUUCGAACCCGAGAGCUACGCAGCCUGGCUGCGAUGGCUGUACCGGCACAGCCAUCACCCUUGUACCGGUACAGCAGCUCCAGAAUGCUGUUUUAACUUCGUUUCGGCUCCACUUCGCGCCGAUCGAUGUCCAAGCUAUUCCAACGCCUUUAGAACUCAUUUUUGCUCUUCCAAAUUGUUGGAAUACCGAAUGGAACUUGUCCAAAUCGUUCAAUCGCCCACUUUGAUCCAUUUGGCCAAAGUUAGCCAAUAUCGUCGAAAUUCGAUAUCUCACAUUCUCCACCCCUUAAAAGGAGUUUCGUCCUCGAAACAACUCAACUCUUAAAUCGAACUUAAACUCUUACCUCAAUCCUUGAACAAGUGAGGAUGAUUCGCUUUCAUCCGGUCCUCGAGUUCCCAAGUGGCUUCGCGAUCGUCGUGAUUGCUCCACCGGACUUUAACAUAGGAAAUUUCUCGAUUCCUUAGCUUACGCACCUCUCGAGCCAAAAUCUCUACCGGAAACUCUUCAUAGCUCAAAUCAUCUUGAAGUUCCGGCGGCUCAUAAAGCAUCGCAUGCUCGGGGUCGUAAAUAUACUUGCGAAGAUUGGAGACGUGGAACACAUUGUGCACACCCGCAAGCUUUGGGGGCAAUGCAAGUCGAUACGCCACCGUCCCAAUUCGCUCCAAAAUCUCGUAGGGGCCAAUGUAACGAGGACUCAACUUUCCUCGUACCCCAAAUCGUUUCACGCCUCGCAUCGGCGAAACCUUCAAGAAUACGCGGUCACCCACCGCGAACUCCAAAUCUCGCCGGCGUCUAUCCGCAUAGCUUUGCUGUCUCGACUGCGCCGUAAGCAAUCUCUUGCGAGCAAGGCGGACUUUCUCUUCCACUUCUCGCAACACAUCCAGGCCGAACUCCGCACGCUCACCUACAUCGCUCCAGUGUAUAGGAGAUCGACAUAUCCGUCCAUAGAGGACCUCAAACGGUGCCAUCUCCACACUAGCAUGAUAACUAUUAUUGUAGGCGAACUCGGCCAUCGUUAGGUGGUCACACCAACUUUCUUUAUAGUCAAUGACACACGCUCGCAACAUAUCCUCCAGAGUUUGAAUGGUUCUCUCCGUUUGCCCAUCGGUCUGGGGAUGAAAUGCGGUGCUAAAGUCCAGCCGUGUGCCAAGGGCUUCCUGCAGGCUCUUCCAAAAAUGCGAAGUGAAUCGGGGGUCACGAUCCGACACGAUAGUUUUCGGCACCCCAUGCAGUCUCACUACCUCGUCAAGGUAUACCUGCGCUAACUUGUCACCCGACCACGUGGUAUGGAUCGGUAAGAAGUGAGCCGACUUCGUCAAUCGGUCCACAAUUACCCAAAUUGCAUCGUGGCCGCCCUUUAAGCAGGGUAAGCCGACCACGAAGUCCAUCGAUAUAUCCUCCCAUUUUCAAACGGGGAUUGGUAGGCUUUGAAGCUUUCCCGCUGGAAAUCGAUGCUCGGCCUUCACUUGUUGGCAUGCAAGGCACUUCGCCACAAAGCGCCCGAUGUCAGCUUUCAUUCCCGGCCACCAGUAGUGCAUUUUUAGGCCUUGGUACAUCUUGGUGCCGCCCGGGUGACCACCAUACGGGGACCAAUGCGACUCCUGGAGUAUAAGCUUGCGAAGCUCCCCAUUAGCGGGUACACACCUCCGAUUCCGAAACCGAAGCGUACCAUCGACGUCUACAUUGAACUCGCCGCCAUGACCUUCCUCGAUGUUUCGCCGCACCUUUUGGAGUUCUGGGUCCACAAGUUGCAGAUCUUUGAUCCUCUCCAACAAGGUCGGUUGGACAACGAGUGCCAUCAACUGAAUCGGGACCUCGGGAGCAACCACUUCAAGGUCCAAUCGCUCCAUAUCCAGCCCUAGGGGUUUUUGCUGGGUAACAUCAAAAGCGAGGUUCUUCGCCGUCUUCCUACUCAGCGCAUCCGCGACCACAUUAGCCUUCCCGGGGUGGUAAAGGAUAUCAACGUCAUAAUCCUUCAAUAGCUCCAACCACCGCCGCUGACGCAUAUUGAGCUCUUUCUGUGUGAACAGAUACUUCAAGCUCUUAUGGUCGGUGUAGAUCUCGCAAUGAGCACCAUAUAAAUAAUGUCUCCAAAGCUUUAAGGCAAAGAUUACCGCCGCCAACUCUAGGUCGUGAAUGGGGUAAUUCUUUUCAUAGCUCUUAAGCUGACGAGAUGCAUAAGCGAUAACCUUCCCGCCCUGCAUCAGCACACACCCCAAGCCCAGAUAAGAAGCAUCACUGUAGACGACGUAGUCCUGCCCUUGCACCAGUAAGGCGAGUACCGGAGUCAAAGUUAACCUCUGCUUCAACUCUUUAAAGCUCCGGUCACACUCGUCACUCCAAACGAACUUGGUGCCUUUUUGCGUCAAACGGGUAAGUGGAGUCACAAUCUUAGAGAACCCCUCCACAAACCGUCGAUAAUAACUGGCUAGGCCCACAAAACUACGGACCUCGGUAACAUUCGUCGGCCGCGGCCAAUUCUCAAUAGCCUCCACUUUCCUCGGGUCAACUAAAACUCCACCCUCGGAAAUAACAUGCCCGAGAAACGCAACCUCUCGAAGCCAAAAGUCGCAUUUCUUCAGCUUUGCGUACAAUGUCUUCUCCCGAAGAAUCUGAAGUACUGCGCGCAAAUGCUCCGCGUGCUCCUCGUCGCUACGCGAAUAUACCAAAAUAUCGUCUAUGAAGGCUACGACAAAUCGGUCCAAGCACCCCUGGAACACUCGGUUCAUCAAGCUCAUAACGCUGCCGGGGCAAUCGUGAGCCCAAAUGGCAUCACCGUGAACUCGUAGUGUCCAUAACGCGUGCGGAACGUCGUCUUCUGAACAUCUUCCGGCUUGAUCUUUAACUGGUGAUAGCCGGACUGAAGGUCGAUCUUAGAAUACACUCGCGACCCCUACAACUGAUCAAACAAGUCAUCAAUACGGGGUAGCGGGUACUUGUUCUUCCCCGUGACCUUGUUCAACUAGCGGUAAUCCACGCAGAGUCGAAAUGACCGAUCUUUCUUGCGCACAAAUAAUACCGGGGCACCCCACGGCGAAACACUCAGCCUAAUGAAUUCCUUGUCGAGAAGAUCCUGCAAUUGAUCUCUCAACUCCCUUAGCUCGGCCGGCGCCAUGCGAUACGGGGCCUCAGAAAUCGGCGCUGUCCCAGGAACCAAGUCGAUCAUGAACUCGAUCUCCCGGUCUGGCGGCAUACCCGGUAACUCCGCGGGAAAAACGUCGGGGAACUCCCGCACAACCGCCAACUCCUCGAGGAUUGGAACUGCUCGGUCAAUCUCCACAACGGUCGCCAAAUAAGCGAUGCAACCGCUGUUCACCAGCUUCCUCGCUCUAGUCGCCGAUACCAUCGCGGCGAAACACGAGCUCUUACAAGCUCAAUAGGUAAACUCUUCCUGUCCCGGCUCCCGAAAUGUAAUAACUCGAGUCGGGCAAUCGAUCGAUACAUAGUACUUCGAGAGCCAAUCCAUGCCCAAUAUGACAUCGAAUUCCUUCAACUUCUUGAGCACCAACAAGUUGAUCGGCAUAACCCAGUCAUUCACUCGCACUGGACAUGCCAAGCAUCACUUCCUAAUCAGAAAGGAUCACCCGGGGCCCUCAACAUGUCAAACGUGCUCCCCAAGACGAUACUCAAUAUCAUGCGCUCGUGCAAAUGAUCGACUAAUGAAUGAGUGUGAUGCACCUGUAUCAAACAAAGCUCUAGCUCGAACAUCUUUAACCAAAAUUAUACCUGCCACAACAUUGCGCUCGCCGGCCUCUGAAGGCUCCUCAAUGUGAGCGGGUGCAGCAUACAUCCUUCCGCUCGGCGCAGAUCGUGCAGGCUCUGGUUGGCGUGGCGCCGCCGCUCGCCCAGUAGAUGCUGCAGGAGAGGGCAGAGCAUAGCGAGCUGGAACCGCCGGGGCCGAUGCAGUCGACAUAGCGGGCGAAGCUUCUCCCUGAGGACAGUCGCAAAUCUGAUGUCCCGCUUGCCCGCACUUGAAGCACCUCCCUCGGCGCUACUCACAAACACCCGGCCGGUGGUCUCCGCCGCAGAAGACGCAUCGCUGAGCACCACGACCCUUGGGCUGUGAGCGUUGAUACUUCGGGGGCCUCCUGGAGCUCGACUAGCCACCCGAUCCACCGCCCUGUCUUUUCUUGCCUUUAUCCUUGUCAAACGCCUCACGGUCCUCACGCUCGCAAGCGUUCUCGUGCUCGACCCAUAGCGCGAGAUCUAGUGCUCCCGCCAAAGUGUGGAACUUGAAGGCAUGCACCAACUUGAACACUCCGGGCCGAAGACCUCGAACGAAGCAAUCCGCCCGGUCUUGCUCUGUCGCCGCUACAUCCGGGACGCAGCUCAGGAGAUGGGUGAACUCCCGCUCGUACUCCCGAACUGUGCAGUUGCCUUGCUUGAGCUUGCGGAAAUCUUCCCGCAUCUUCCUCUUAUCACUGUCGGGGACGUACUCGGCGAACAUCAGCUUGCGGAACUCCGCCCAAUCGAUCGGGGGAAGCUCCAGGGAUCGGUCCUGCUUGACCCUCCACCACCAAGUCUUGGCCCGCUUCUCAAAGCAAUGCGCGGCCAAGUUCACCUUGUCCUUCUCCAAGGUGAAAAUGUCCUCAAAUAGGGUCUCCAUAGUCGUCAGCCAAGACUCCACCGCAGCUGGAUCCACCACCUCUCCGUCGAAAGUAGGCGGGCGAAACUUCGUGAACCUCGUGAGCGCCACGUAGCCUCGCUCACGCUCCGCCUCCUCAGCCGCCACCGCGGGGGUAGGAGAACUCGAACUAACCGGAGGAAUAUCCACCGGUGGGGGUUGCGCCGCCACCGGAACCGAAAUGCCACCCACACCCUCGGCCGCAUCAGGGGCGCGAAUCGAAGGCGCAGGCGGACCGCGGCCUGGAUCCGCUGCCGCAGCCGCCGCCGCAGCCUGCUGCUCCAGCAGCUCCUGAAUCCUAUCGAAUCGUCCAGUGAGCGCCACAACAUGCGCUCGCAACUCCUGCACCUCAGUAGGCCCAGCUGGCACUGGCGCCACUGGAGGCACGGCUGUCUCGGGCACCUCUCGAGGUGGUGCCGGAGCGGUCCUACGCACGUAGCGUCUCUUUGGUGCCAUAGCUCCUGAAACGCAAACCGUUGGUUAAUUACUUAACUCGACAACAUCGUCGUAAACACGAAGUAUAACGAUUAAACAACAUCAAUCAGGCGGUAGCUUGCAAGUGUCUUAGUUCUCGACUCUCGGCAUCGUGUUGUCGGCCGCCAACACAAUCACCUUAAGUCAAAAAUUAAUACCACUUGGAUCAUCUCUAGCCAUAACUAGAGUCUCAACAACUCCAAACCCAAUCAUUUAGCUUCCGCCGCGUCAUAGAUUCACGUCGCACUCACGCACCUAUAACCUUAGGGUUAACCAACCUAGAGUCUCCUAGGUCAUCCUAGACUCUCUCUUUUGCUUGCUCUUAACUCGCUCUGAUACCACUAAACUGUCACGUCCCUGACCGCACCACCCGAAAACGGUACCAAUUUGGUCCGGUUCGGGGGCGGCGGGCGCGACCGCCGGACGGACGGAGUUUCCCCUGUCCGCCGAAGGCUAAGCAACAGAUUGUGUACAACAAGUCCCCAGGAAUACAACUUGAAUACAUACACAAUCAAACAACGAUAAUCGAGAGCACAAACAGUGCUACGACCAACUAGAGCAAGCGAUACCAGUAAAACCAUACAAGUUUAUACAAAGAGAGCAACUUAGCUAUUUGAGACAUCAUUGAAACAUUAACCUCUUUCGAUUUCAUUUAACUUUAAACAUUUGAUACAACUUGCGUUCUUUAUCCAAAAUGAAUAUAAAUCAUAAGCUCUCCAAAUCUCACUCUAUACAAAAACUACUCUCAAAUGUAUAACCAAAAGUACGGUAGAGCUAAUGCAAGUAGGAAGGUAAAGCAAUCAACAACUGCUAGGGCGCUAUGCCCUUGCGCGCAUCAUCGACGAAGGCCCGCUGUCCUGUAUACCUGUACCCCCAGAGCCACACGGGGUGAGAACUACAUAGUUCCCAGUGGGUUCGGCCGCGACUCCGCCGAUCUAACCACUAGGUCUCAAGUAGGCAUAGAGAAUAUAUACUGCAAUAUAUAUAUAAAACAAAGUUGACGGGAAAGCGAGUAUGUAAAACUAAUCAAGCUAUGACCUCAAUCUGGAAUCAUGAAUGCAUGAACAAUAAACAAAGCUGUGGUAAAUAAGCAACUAUCAACAUACUACAACAGCUAUCAUAGUAACUAUAAACAUGCUACUAGGUAAGCAGUAAGCUGAUAUGAACAAUGAAUAGCUUACUAUGACAUCAAUAAUGGGUAAGACUCAAUGGGUAACCCAAUCUCCAAAUGAACACAAGGUUCACAAGCAAGGCUCACAUAUGCAAUCUCCUAGGGAUGUCGAGCUGGACUAUCCCCGAGUACGCCUGCGGAUAACAAGCGGCUAUCCGAGCAGCAAGCAGGGCUGCUCUCUAGUGACCAAAUCUCCGGAGCGCACAACUUGAGGGAGCGACCCACCAAGCCAGACAGGCAAUUGAGCCAAGAUUCAUCACGAGCAACAAACAACAACCCUUUGAGGGAAUAUCAUCAUGGAAGCGAGGGUAUACAUGUACCCAAUCUCAUGGUGUCUCAACUACACUAAUGUGAUCAUCAAGGAAACAUCAACAAUGUCAUUCAUCAUGUUUUUCUAACAGAUGCCACUUGUUCAUAGUUUUCUUAACUAGAUGCACUCGGCUCAAUUUGACUCAUUAUCAACACUAGUUUCCUCAUACUAGUUCUUAGCAACAUAAGCAUUAACAUUUCAUAUAGGGUCUAGAUUUUCAUCAAGCAACCUCAUGCAUACUAGAUCUAAAACCAACCAAGCAAUAUAUAUAUUAUUGAACUAAUAGUAUGCAAGUAUAAGCACAAUAAUCAUUUUCAACCCUAUAUGUAUUAUGCACAAUAUGCAAAUGAUCAAUUAAACUUAGACAUAGGAAGGUGGCGAUGACUUCGGGAUGGCACUCCCCCACCUUGGGUGAUGCGCAAACACUCCGAGACCGGCUUCUCGUGCUAGUCUUGUCGCCGCUUAAUUUUCGUUGGUUAACUUUAACCCUUUAGCGACUCGAAUAGACGGAUAUCUUCGCGCCCACUCGUCGGAUCGACGAACGUCUGCCUACGCGUUUUAUAAGCAUAAGAAAUUAGGUUUCUAACCCCUCAAAAGAGAUCAAUCCCUCACAUUUUCAAAAUCCCCAAAAUUUAACCCUAGGUUGGGAUCCAUGAGAGGUUAUGGAUUAUAGUUCAAUGUGAGCUAAUCCAUGUUCUCUAAGCUAUUAGGUUCCAUUUGAACCAUCAAAAGCAACAAAAACCAUAAAACCUAGAAAUCACAAGUUACCAUGAAAGGGGUUGGAGGCUUACUCUAGGGUUUGCUCCAAAGCAAGCCCUAGGCCAAAAACGAGAUGAGAAGGGCUUCAAAACUCUUCUCUCUUCUCCUUCCUUUCUCCUCUCUUUUCUCUCUUUUCUUCUUCUUUUCUCCAACGGUUAGAGAGAGAGAGAGAGCUUAGAGAGAGAGAGGGGCUGUGGGGAGUGAGAGAGGAGAGAGCUGAGGGCAUGAGGGUUAAGUCCUCUAUUGUAACAAAAUGCUAAAAAGCCCUCAUUUUAUCAGAUUUUGCAACUUAACCCGCUGCUGCGCGCUCGUGUACCGGUACACGGGUUUGCGUACCGGUACGCGCCCUGCGUAACGGCCAAACCCGAGAGCAAACCCGAGGGCUGCGCAGCCUGGCAGCAAUGGCUGUACCGGUACAGCCAUCAUGCGUGUACCGGUACACCAGCUCCAGAAAGCUGUUUUCAGCCUCGCUUCGGCUCCACUUCGCGCCAAUCGACGUCAAACCCAUUCCAACACCUUUGGAACUCAUUUUAGCUCUUCCAAACUCGUUGGAAUACCGAAUGGGACUUGUCCCAACUUCCGAUCGCUCACUUUGGUCCAUUGUGCCAAAGUUAGCCGUUUUCGUCGAAUUUCGAUAUCUUACACCCGUACUACCCAGACUAUCACCGGUUAAGCAACUUGAUAGAGGCCAAACCUGAGAGCUGGCUUCUAGGGUGGCCUGCCUGGUACCGGUACUGCCCUGGUGCUUCACUGGUUAAGUAGUGCCCAGACUGCAGUUUGGGCAGUGUUUGGCUCCAAUUCGCGCCGAGCAAUGCUAAAACUCUUCAAUCGCAUUCGAAAUUUAACUCUAACCCCUCCAACACUGUUGGAGUGUCAAUUGGACUUUGUCCAACCAUUUCUCUCACCAAAUUUUGGUCAAUUUGACUAAAGUUCGAUAUAGCCUACCGAGGUUUCGAUAUAUUACAUUCUCCACUGCUUAAAAAUAGUUUUGUCCGUGAAACUAAACACAUACCUUAGCUUGUCGACUCGAAUAAGUGAGGAUACAUCUUUCGCAUUGUCUCCUCAAGCUCCCAAGUGGCUUCACGCACUGCAUGAUUGCUCCACUGGACUUUAACGUAGGGGAUUGUGCGACUUCGCAACCUCCUUUCUUCUCUACCGAGGAUACACACCGGGUACUCCUCAUAGGUCAUGUCCUCGCGUAACUCCACGGGCUCAUACUCUACCACGUGAGUCGAAUUGCGGAUAUACUUGCGGAGAUUCGACACGUGAAACACAUUGUGAACUCCCGCAAGCCUCGGUGGUAAUGCAAGCUUGUAUGCCACCGCACCGACCAGCUCCAAUAUCUCGAACGGUCCAACAUACCGGGGACUUAGCUUCCCAUGGACCCCAAAUCAUUUUACACCUCGCAUAGGUGAUACUUUCAAGAACACGCGGUCUCCAACCGCGAACUCUAAAUCUUUUCUAUGUUUGUUGGCAUAGGUUUGCUGUCUUGAUUGCGCCGUCGCAAGCCGUUGACGAGCAAGGCGAACUUUCUCUUCCGCCUCUCGCAACACAUUGGGACCAAGAGUAACUCUCUUACCCACUUCGCUCCAAUGGAUAGGAGAACGACACUUCUUUCCAUACAAAGCUUCAAAUGGCGCCAUCGCGAUGCUUUCUUGAUAGCUAUUAUUGUACGCGAAUUCUGCCAUCGGCAAAUAAUCGUGCCAUCCGCCCUUGUAAUCAAGUACACACGCUCGAAGCAUGUCCUCAAGGAUUUGUAUUGUCCUUUCUGAUUGACCGCCACUUUGAGGAUAGAAUGUCGUAAGUUGAGCCAUGUGCCCAAAGCGUCUUGCAAGCUCCUCCAAAAAUAAGAUGUGAACCUAGGGUCUCGGUCCGAUACUAUAGACACCAGAACCCUAUGAAGUCUCACAACCUCGUCAAGAUAUACUUAAGAUAACUUAUCUCCGGACCAUGUAGUGUAGAUCGGCAAGAAGUGUGCCGAUUUCGUCAAUCGAUCCACUAUUACCUAAAUUGCAUAGUGUCUGCCUUGAGAUCGAGGCAAACCGAUCACAAAAUCCAUUGCGAUGUCCUCUCAUUUCCAAACGGGUAUUGAUAGACUUUGCAACUUUCCCGCCGAAAACCGGCGCUCCACUUUUACUUGUUGGCACGUAAGACAUUGCGCUACGAACUCCCCAAUAUCUCUUUUCAUGCCCGGCCACCAAUAAUGCACUUUUAGGUCUUGGUACAUCCUUGUGCCCCCCGGGUGAAUACUAUAGGGAGAUUGAUGCGCCUCUUGCAUAAUCGCCUUUCGAAUGUCCUCAUUUUUAGGCACACACCAACGAUUUCGGAAUCGAAGUACGCCAUCGGUCCCAAUGCCAAAAUCAUCGGCACUACCGUUUUUAACUUCACCAUGCACCUUUUGAAGAUAUGCAUCAAAAGCUUGUUGCUCUUUAAUCUUCUCCAAUAAGGUUGGUCGCACAACCAAUGUAGCAAGAGUAGCCGGCACUCCCAGAGCUACCACUUCAAGACCAAACAGUUGCAUCUCUUUUUGCAAUAAUGGUUGGGGUGUAAUUGCCGUAGCCAAGUUUUUCACCGAUUUUCUACUUAGAGCAUCGGCCACGACAUUUGCUCUUCCGGGGUGGUAUAGAAUAGUGAUGUCGUAGUCCUUUAGUAACUCUAAUCACCGCCGCUGUCGCAUAUUUAAUUCUUUUUCGGUGAACAAGUAUUUAAGACUCUUGUGAUCUGUGUAGAUCUCACAAUGCUCACCGUACAAGUAAUGCCUCCACAACUUUAGCGUGAAAAUCACCGCGGCUAGCUCAAGGUCAUGAAUUGGAUAGUUCUUUUCAUAACUCUUCAAUUGACGAGAAGUAUAAGCUAUAACUCGACCAUUUUGCAUCAAGACACACUCGAGACCAAUAUAUGAAGCAUCACUGUACACUACAAAGCUCUCCCCCGGAGUCUGUAGAGCAAGCACCGGGGUCUAUGUCAAUCUUUCCUUUAAUUCCUCGAAGCUCCGAUCGCAAUCGUCGCUCCAAACGUACUUCACCCCUUUGUGCGUAAGGAGCGUUAGUGGAGUAGUUAUUUUAGCAAACCCCUCCACGAACCGCCGAUAGUAUCCCGCAAGUCCAAGAAAGCUACGGAUCUCCACAACACGGGCGAGGCCAAUCCCUAAUUGCCUCGACUUUCUUCGGAUCCACCGAGACGCCGCUCCGGGAUAUCACAUGGCCUAGGAAGGUAACCUCCGAAAGCCAAAAAUCACAUUUCUUUAGCUUGGCAUAAAGCUUCUCUUUUCGAAGUAUUUGCAACACGGUUCUCAAAUGCUACUUGUGUUCCUCCUCGCUCCGAGAAUAAACCAACACGUCGUCAUGAACACCACGACGCAUCGAUCCAAUAACGGUCGAAAGACUCGAUUCACCAAGUCCAUAAAUGCUGUCGGGGCAUUAGUAAGCCCAAACGACAUUACCGUGAACUCGUAGUGGCCAUACCGCGUACGAUACACCGUUUUGUGCACAUCCUUCGGCCUGAUCUUCAACUGAUGAUACCCCGACUGAAGAUCAAUCUUUGAGUAUACCCGCAACCCUUUCAACUGGUCGAAUAGAUCAUCAAUCCUCGGUAACGGGUACUUGUUCUUGAUUGUCACUUUGUUCAACUCGCGAUAAUCCACGUAGAGUCGAAGUAUGACAUCCUUUUUCUUCACAAAUAGCACCGGAGCUCCCCACGGUGAUACGCUCGGCCUCACAAAGCCUUUAUCGAGCAAGUCUUGCAAUUGGGUUUUUAGCUCUACUAGCUCCGCCGGUGCCAUUCUAUACGGAGCCUUCGAAAUUGGCGCUGCCCCGGGAACCAAGUCAAUGCCGAACUCAAUCUCCCGGUCUGGUAGCAAUCCUGUAGCUCCGCCGGAAAUACAUCCGGAAAUUCACAUGCUACCCGAAUGUUCCCAAGUUCCGGGAGCUCCCUUUGAGUCUCUACCAUUGUCGCCAAAUAGGCCACACAUCCACCUUUAAUCAUCUUCCUCGCCCUCGCCGCCGAUACUGUCGCCGCGAAACGCGAGCUUUUACAUGCGCGAUACACUAACUCCUCUUGGUUAGGCUCACGAAAAGUGAUCACCUUGCUCUCGCAGUCGAUAACCGCAGAGUAUUUGGAGAGCCAAUCGAUCCCCAAAAUUACAUCGAAGUCCCACAUUUGGUUUAGGACUAGCAAGCCUCCCGGCAUAAUCCAAUUACCUAUCUGAACCAGACACGCCGCGCACUCCACGUGAAUACUAAAUGAAUGCUCUGGUGCAUUAACCCACCAAUAAUCCGGGCUAUACAACACCUCGAUGCCAUGAGUUUUUUCAAAUGAUGCACCAAUGAAUGAAUGAGAUGCGCCUAUGUCAAAUAAAGCUCUAGCUCUAGUACCAUUGAUCAAAAUAAUACCUGCCACGACAUCAUCUGAAACGGCAGGCUCCUCCACCUGAGUGGCGAAAACCCGUCCACUCGGUGCUCGAGAUCCCUUCGUCUGACGCGGUGCUGAUGAGCGUCCCGCCGACAUAGGAGGUGGCAACCCCGCAAGCUGCCUCGGGGUAGAAGGAACUGAUGCCGCCGUCAGAGCAGAUGACGCCCAACUCGGGCACUCCCGAAUCAUAUGCCCAACUUGGCCGCACUUGAAGCACUUUCCCACGCGCUGUGGGCAAGCCGAUGGUCGAUGCUCACCGCCGCAAAUGAUACAUCAGGUAGGCCUCCAAUUUCUUGACUGCUGUCGGGGAUAUCGAGGGGGUUUUUUAGCAUUCGGCCGGUCCCCGUCACCACUCGCCGCCCGUUUCUUUCCUUUGUCCUUAGACUCGGCCAUAGACUCGCGCUCCUCUCGUGCAUAAGCAUUGCCGUGCUCCGCCCAUAAUGCUCUAUGAAAGAUCUCCACAAGGGUCGUAAGCUUAAAGAUUUGCACUAGGACGCAGUCAAUAAUGUGGGAAACUCCUGCUCAAAGUCUCCCAUUGAACGGUCUCCUUGCUUCAACUUGUGAAACCUGUCCUGUAGCUUUCGUUUCACUGUAUCGGGGAAAUAGUUCACGAACAUCAACCUCCGGAACUCCUCCCAAAGCAUAGGCGGAAGGUCAGAAGAUCGGUCACGCUUUACCCGUUUUCACCACACCUUCGCCGCCUUCUUCAAACAGUGAGUGGCGAGGUGCACUUUAUCCUUCUCCUAGGUAUAUAUAUCCUCGAAGAGUGCUUCCAUCGCAUCGAUCCAUGACUCCACCAUCGACGGCUCCACCUUUUCCCCGUCGAACGUAGGUGGGCUAAACUUCUUGGACAUAACAAGCGCCGCCAAUGCACGCUCCCGCUCCGCCUUUGUAAGGUACCGAACUUCUAAAAUCAUGAAGUUACGUUGUCCAUUUGGUUGGAGAGCCAUUUGAAUGGUUCCGGUAAAGUUGCGGUGUAAUGUAAUAUACCGGAUUUAAAUAUAAAAAUAAAAAUAAAUAAAAAUAGUAUGAGAUACUAUUUUUAUUGGAUUUGGAGAAGUAAAAUAUGAGUUAGAAAUGACUUGUGCUGAAAUUGGAAUGAAAACAGAAGAUUUAGAAUUUUCUGUGAGAGACGGGGCAGAUAAAUUAGCAGAAAAUGCACAGUCUCAGAAAAUUAUGAAAAUUGGAGGACAAGUCAGAAAUAUUUUUAUGAGGCUAGAUUUAAGGUUUCAUAUUUUUCUGACACCCGUAGAGUGAGAAAUAAAAUCCGACAGUUAUCUGAUAAAGAUUACAGUUCGGUACAGUUUUCAGUGACCAAACGGGGUCGAAACUGAAAAGUUAAGAUAUAUUCUUACUCAGUACGUUAAACUGAGUCUACCUGUCAAAUUUGAGCUCAAUCGGACAUUCAGAAGGGUUCCGAUGGAACUUAUCAGAUUUGAGGGACUAAACUGAAAAGUGGAAUAGUUGAGGGGGCUGCUUGUGGAAAAGAGCAUUGCUCUUCUUCUCCUCCCUCAACCUGCGUACACAACCAGCCCCAAACCGACACACCCACACACGCAUGGAUAGGAGAAGAGAACCCUCUCUUUCUCUCUCUAAAUCUCUCCCAAAAUUAAGGGAAUUAGUGGAGAUUGAAGCUUGGAGGUGAAUCGUCAUCAUCUUCUUCAUCUUCUCCAUGGAUUGAAGCUAGUUUUGAGGUAAGCUUUUGCUACCCUUUAAUGGUAGAUCUCUAGAUAUGGGGUUUUGAUCUCUAGAAAUGGAUUUAGAGCUAUUCUAGCAUGCUAAAUAGACACUUGAAUACCGUAUAGCCACAUGGAAUUGUGGACAAUACUCUUUUGAGAAUUGGAAGUCGAGAUAUGCCGGGGUAGGCCAUCUCGUGGUAGAGCAAGGUCCGAAUAUGGUUAGAACACUCGCGAUUGGGUGAUGCACCAAUGAUAUUGCUUUUGAGCAAUGUUGGUAGUCGAAUCGCAAUGCCCCGAGGGGGGAAAAGCAAAUGCAAAGAAGAGUUCUUGCAUGCCGAAUGGUGAGUGAUGUUGGAACGCGUAGAGUCGUUGAGCUUCGACUUGCGUAACCACCAAGAAUGACGGAGACCCGUAAUGCACUUUCGGAGUUACGCUUAGCGAAUGUGAGUGAAUCUGGUCUCACAUCCUCCUUAAUGGACCUCUAAGUUGUUCCAAUAAGUGAAAGACCGCUCCGAGAUGCGAAAGUGCAUUGGAACCCUCGAUUACUCGAUGAGUUAAAUUGAGGUGUGAGUUGGAGAUGGAGUUGAUUGAGUUUCGAGGACGAAACUCUUAUUAAGGAGGGGAGAAUGUAAGGUACCGAACUUCUAAAAUUAUGAAGUUACGUUGUCCAUUUGGUUGGAGAGCCAUUUGAAUGGUUCCGGUAAGGUUGCGGUGUAAUGUAAUAUACCGGAUUUAAAUAUAAAAAUAAAAAUAAAUAAAAAUAGUAUGAGAUACUAUUUUUAUUGGAUUUGGAGAAGUGAAAUAUGAGUUAGAAAUGACUUGUGCUGAAAUCGGAAUGAAAACAGAAGAUUUAGAAUUUUCUGUGAGAGACGGGGCAGAUAAAUUAGCAGAAAAUGCACAGUCUCAGAAAAUUAUGAAAAUUGGAGGACAAGUCAGAAAUAUUUUUAUGAGGCUAGAUUUAAGGUUUCAUAUUUUUCUGACACCCGUAGAGUGAGAAAUAAAAUCCGACAGUUAUCUGAUAAAGAUUACAGUUCGGUACAGUUUUCAGUGACCAAACGGGGUCGAAACUGAAAAGUUAAGAUAUAUUCUUACUCAGUACGUUAAACUGAGUCUGCCUGUCAAAUUUGAGCUCAAUCGGACAUUCAGAAGGGUUCCGAUGGAACUUAUCAGAUUUGAGGGACUAAACUGAAAAGUGGAAUAGUUGAGGGGGCUGCUUGUGGAAAAGAGCAUUGCUCUUCUUCUCCUCCCUCAACCUGCGUACACAACCAGCCCCAAACCGACACACCCACACACGCAUGGAUAGGAGAAGAGAACCCUCUCUUUCUCUCUCUAAAUCUCUCCCAAAAUUAAAGGAAUUAGUGGAGAUUGAAGCUUGGAGGUGAAUCGUCAUCAUCUUCUUCAUCUUCUCCAUGGAUUGAAGCUAGUUUUGAGGUAAGGUUUUGCUACCCUUUAAUGGUAGAUCUCUAGAUAUGGGGUUUUGAUCUCUAGAAAUGGAUUUAGAGCUAUUCUAGAAUGCUAAAUAGACGAUUGAUGCUUGAAUCAUAGAUCGAUUUAAUGAUUUAUUGCCUAGUUGUAACAUAGGGCUCUAAAAUGCAAGUUUUGCUACUAGUAGGGUUUGAUCUCAUUUAACCCUCUGUAAACCUAAUUGAUAGGUCACUGAACGCGUUGGAAGCGACGGUUCGGCGUUGGAAGCGACGGUUCGGCGAUUCGUCGAGCCGGUGCAAAGUUAUUAAAGAAACGGACGUUUAGGCUUCGUUUCCGCCUGGAGGGCCGAGGCGACGUCGUAAAAUCGUGGAAACGGAUUUGAAGCACCGUAGCGAGAAACCGAAGACCUAUAAUUUCCAGAUCGCGGAUCGGAGGUCGUUUGGUGGUCGCGCACCGAUUGGGUCGAGCCGAGCGGCGUGCGCCGCGGGAGGCCGAUUGCAAGUGACGACGAGCAAUCGGAACGCGGUAAAAGGUGGGGGAGUGCCAUCCCGAAGCAAUCGGGUUUCUCCUUAUGUCUAAGUAUUUCUAUGUUGAUCAAUUAUGCAUAUUGAGCAUGAUGCAUUAUAGGGUGAUAGUUGAUGGUUGGUUCUAUAUAUAUAUAUAUUGCAUGCUUCUUGAAAGAGUAAUGUAUUUGGCUUAGUGCUUAUAUCUAGCAUGCUUGAGGUUUAUAUAUGCGAUGUGAAACCCUAUAAGAAAUGAUAGGUGUAGAUGAGAACUUAGUAAUAUAUUGGCUAUUGCAUUGGAAACUUUAAACAUGUCAUUGAUCAAGUUGCAUAUUAUGAUGUUGCAUAUAGGGUGUUUAGAAACUUGUAUCUAUAUUUGCAUGCUAGUGGUAAUGUAGCUUGGUAGAUAUAACACUUGAAUCUAGUAUGCAUGAAGUUAGUAUGUGCACCUUAACCCUAUAUGAGAUAAUAUGUAACGGAUUGGAACCUAGGCAAAUGAUAACCUAGUGUUUGUGUUGUGUGAACGAAGAACCUAGUAAAGUGUGAACUAGAGUCUUGGAAACUUGUAAAGGACGAGUGGCAUCUAGUUAAUGUUAACCUAUGACGAGUGGCAUCUAGUUGAUAGCACAUAUGAGAACCUUAGUGUAGUUGAAACACUAGAAGGUUGAGUAUUAGAUUGGCAUUGAGUUGAUGAGUUGUUAACCCUAGAUAAUAGGGUGUUCCCAGUGGAUGACACUAUCCUUAGUUGAUAGGAUGUUCCCAGUUCAUGAGAUUGGAUCGAGCUCACAUAGCCUGUCUGCACCUGUGGAGGUCGCUCCUCACAGGUAGUGCACUCCGGAGUUUGGCACGCGAGGGGGCCAGUGUAGUUGCCCUUGGACCAGUGUAGUGUCCGCAGGCGGUCUCGGGGUAGGUGAAGAGCUAGCCACCUCCCUAGGAGAUUGAUACACGUGAGACAGUGUGCGAGCCUUGUGUUCGCUGAGAGAUUGGGUGAUCAGAUGAAUGACAUCGUUGUUGAACCUAGUAGCAUGGUAGCUAACCUUUACUAUGAGUUGCAUCGACAUUGAGCAUAGUCACUUGGUAGUUGGACUAGUGGAUUUGCCUACAUACAGUGAGUGGACAUACUAUUCCUUCACCUAUGAGAUUUGAGAGGGACAGCUUGUACCUAGUAGAGCGAGAUUGAGUCGGGCAAGGAGCGGGGUAGCUCUUUGCCUAGGACCUUUGAGAUUGAGUCGGGCGAGGAGCGGGGUAGCUCUUUGCCUAGGACUUUCGAGAUUGGGUCG
RNAcentral lists this long non-coding RNA (50647 nucleotides) under Ananas comosus (pineapple). RNAcentral's name for it is "long non-coding RNA (ACOM_LNC024340)". Lineage: Eukaryota; Viridiplantae; Streptophyta; Magnoliopsida; Poales; Bromeliaceae. The record is from RNAcentral.